This 87568-nucleotide long non-coding RNA is filed under the name Zea mays. Its description in RNAcentral is "long non-coding RNA (ZMAY_LNC000184)". Lineage: Eukaryota; Viridiplantae; Streptophyta; Magnoliopsida; Poales; Poaceae. The record is from RNAcentral.
GGGAGGAAUCUAUAUUAUAUAGAACUAUGAUCAUGCUUAAUUGACAUAUCUCUUGAUCAUAUCUCUUUCAUUUUGGUACAAAUGCAUAUAUCUUAUUAUUCCCGUACCAUGACUACGACUAAUAUGUUUCCAAGUAUAUUCUAUGCUAAGUCGUAGAUUGAAAAGGAAAUGGAGUCUUCGGCGAAAACAAAGGUUUCCACUCCGUAUAUCAUACUUCGCCAUCACUCCAAGGAACUCUCUAUUCUUCGAGGGAGAAAUGAGCAUCAAAGAAAAGAACUUCGUCUCUGGAAGAGAGUAAGAGCCCAAAGCUAAAGGACCGGACUUCGCCUUUGGUAUAAUCUUAACUCAUUUAUUUAUGCCCAAAGGGGAAGAUAGCACUUCGAGGGCUCUAAUGAUUCCGUUUUUUUGGUGAUUCAUGCCAAAAAGGGGGAGAAAUGAGCCCAAAGCAAAAGGACCGCACCACCACCAAAUUCAAAAACUUAGUGCUUUCCAAAAGUAUUUAUCAUUUGGUAUCCUAUUGUGUUCAAAAAGGGGGAGAAAGGAGUAUUUCAAAAAUGGUAUAUCAAAACCCUCUUGAACAACUAAGAGGUGGAUCGCUUUUAGGGGGAGUUUUGUUAAGUCAAAAGAAAAGCAUUUGAAACAGGGGGAGAAAAUUUAAAAUCUUGAAAAUGCUUUACAAACUCUUGUUCAUUUACCUUUGACUAUUUGCAAAAGAUCUUUGAAAUGGAUUUACAAAAAGAAUUUGCAAAAACAAAACAUGUGGUGCAAGCGUGGUCCAAAAUACUAAAUAAAAUAAAGAAAGAAAGCAUCCGUGCAUAUUUUAUGAAUAUUGGCUUAAUUCCAAGUAAUCUUUGCACCUAUUCUAUGCAAACUAGUUCAAUUAUUCUCUUAUAUAUUUGCUUUGGUUUGUGUUGGCAUCAAUCACCAAAAAGGGGGAGAUUGAAAGGGAAAUAGGCUUUAAACCUUUUCCUAAAUGAUUUUGGUGAUUGAAUGUCCAACACAAACAAUUGGACUAAUUAGUUUGCUCUAGAUUAUAUGUUCUACAGGUGCCAAAGAUUCAACAUAAAACCAAUAAAAAGAACAAGACAAGAGUCAAAAUAAAGGAGCAAAGGGGCAACCGAGGGCACCCCUGGUCUGGCGCACCGGACUGUCCGGUGUGCCACCGGACAGUAAACAGUACCUGUCCGGUGCACCAGGGAACGCUGACUCCAACUCUUCAUUCUCGGGAAUUCUCGGAAGCCGGCGCGCUAUAAUUCACCGGACUGUCCGGUGUACACCGGACAGUGUCCGGUGCUCCAACGGAACGCGGCCUCAGGAACUCGACAGCCUCGGGAUUUCACGAAGGCUGCUCCGCUAAAAUUCACCGGACUGUCCGGUGUGCACCGGACUGUCCGGUGUGCUAGCGGAGCAACGGUCAUCUUCGCGCCAACGGUCGACUCUGACGGUAUACAGUGCAGAACAGUACACGCGGCAGAAGUCAGAGCAGAGGAUCAGAGAGGCACCGGACUGUCCGGUGUGCACCGGACUGUCCGGUGCCACAUGAGGACAAAAGCCUCCAACGGUCGACCAGCUCCAACCCCAACGGAUAGGAUGACGUGGCUGGGGCACCGGACAUGUCCGGUGUGCACCGGACUGUCCGGUGCGCCCAUCGCCAGCAGACUUCAUCAACGGCUAGUUUUUGGAUGGUGGCUAUAAAUACCACCCCAACCGGCCACUUCAAGGUGGGGGAGUCCAAGCAACAUUCCAAGUCAUCUAGUUGACAUACUCAAGCCCUCCCAACCACCUAUAUUCAUUGAUCCAUCCUAUACACAAGAUUUAGUCCACUACAACCAACACAAGUGCCACAAAAGAGAGAGCAAGCAAUUGAGAGCUACUCAAUUGAGUUUAGCCCUAGCGCCUUGUGAGAUUCAUUGAGAGAUAGUGUGUGCUACAUCUUUGUGUUCACUUGCGCGUGGAGUUUUUGACUCCCAUUCGAACUUCCUCCAAAGUGUUGGAGGCUUGUAAAAGCUAGCAAGAGACACCAAAGAUUGUGGUGGUCCUUGUGGGAUCGAGAGUGAUCCUUGAGAAGAAGAAGAGCUCGCCGAUCCUUGUGUGAUCGGGAGAGAGGGAAAGGGUUGAAAAAGACCUGUCCUUAAGUGGACUCCUCAACGGGGACUAGGCCUUCGAGGGCCGAACCUCGGUAAAACAAAUCACCCGUGUUCAUUGUGCUUUUGCUUGUGAUUUGUUUGCUUUCCCUUACUCUAAGUUCUCUUGCACUAUUCUUUGCUCAUAUCAUUUGGUGUUGCUUCAAGUUAAAAUAUCAUUUAAGUGAAGCAACACUCCGCAAGAAAAGAACUUGAGUUAGUGCCCUUUUUCAUCUAAGCUUUCUUGCUUUGUUAUCAUAGAAUUAUUAGUUGUAUUGAUUUAUCACUUCCGCAUUAUUUGAAAGCUAUACUCUUUACUAGCAAGAACUUAGUUUUUAUACUUCAAUAAUUGUUCAUCUUGUUCUAACCACUAAUCAAAGGAUCUAGUUGGGGGAUAAAGUUUUAAUUUUCAGGUUUCGCCUAUCCACCCCCCCUCUAGGCGACUUUCAAUACCUCCUUGAGUGCUUUGUCUGGUGCCAUACUGAACACAUCCGGUGAGUACUCAAUCUCUUACACUCAGUUUGCAACCUCUCUAGGUGCCUUGUCUGGUGCUAUAGUGUACACGUUCGUCGAGUGUAUGGUUCAAACACUCAUUUGUAUAACUUUUUGGGUGCCUGUCUGGUGUACCAUAUCCAGUGCACAUCACACAUGCUAGUGAUAAACCAAAUCUAAACAUGGUUGCCCUCUAUUUGAUGGCACAUAAGCUUCUAGUGUACCACUAACUCACUUGUUUCAAAUGCCUUUUGAUAUUUAAUUACUUAUUACCUUGAUGUAAACAUGAGUUUUUUAGUUCUCUCUUUAGGUGGGCUUGACAUACUAUCAAGUUUAACUUAGUCUCUGUCAAAUUGCUGACAAAUGCACUUGGAAUUAGAUUAAAUUAGACAAUUUUGCUAUACGUAGGCUUGGGGAUAACAAGAUAGGCUAAGCAUUCCCGAUCGCAUAAAAAUGAUUGUCUGAUGGUCAUAUAUUGAAUGUCAGUAAGGUCAGCAAAAUAGAAAUUGUUUGUUCAAGAUCUUGCGGCUUCAUUACAAUAUGUGUUAUAUGUUGUAGUUAUUGUAACAUGACUACAACAUCUUGUGUAAUUAUUUUAGAAAGAUGAUUUUAAAUAGCAAGAGGAUUUCUCCCCUAUAGAUUCCCUCUAUUUCUAUGAUCACCAAACUAGCUCUUAGGGUCAAUGUCCCUCCUUUAUUGCACACUCAGGUACUAAUGGGAGAAAGGAGGUUGGUCAAAGGACAAUAUGGUCUUUUUCAUAUGCUUUAAUGUUGCCGAUCAUUUUUAAUCUCUGAAAUAAAACAUGGUAGAGACUAAAAUUUAGUCACAGUUUCUUAAGAUCAAGAAACCAAACAUGUCUUAGGUGGAUGUGCAAUACUAAUACACGAGCAAUCUAGGCCGUCCGAUGGAGAUGGAAGGAAGAUCUGCGUCGAUCACGGCGGUGGAUGUGUGCCACUGCCACGUGCACUUGUCCUCUCAUCGGGGCCGUCCAUUUGCCCGGGCCCCGCUGACGUCAUAGAGACCCCCACAUGCAGCUAUCCUGGAAGCGCCACUGCGCCAGCAUGGGGAGGGCCCACACUAGCAGCGUCGCGUCUCUUUCUCUUCUAACGUUCAAAUAUUCAAACGAGGAGCGGAUGGACAGAGGGGACGGAGGCUGGAUGAGGCACUAGACCACUAGUGCACUACGGAAACGCGAGAGAAGAGGCAGACGGCGGCGGCGGCCAUGGAUUUCCACUCCCUCUCCCGGCGAGAACUUCAGGCGCUCUGCAAGAGCAACGGCAUCCGUGCCAACAUGUCCAACGCGGCCAUGGCGGAAGCGCUUAGGUGCCUCCCCGCGGUGAGCCUAUCCUCGAUCGAUCCCCUUCCUUUCCUCCUGAGGGUGAAUUGAAUCUCUGCAUUUGGGCCGGGGGUGGCAACUGGGGAGGUUGAUUUGAUGUUGUUUGCUGUGUUGAUUAGGUGGACAGGAUCGACGAGAUCGGGAGCACGGCGCCACCGCCGGUAUCGGCGAUGAAGGAACAGACGCCGGAUGCGGAAGAGGCGGUCGGAGGGGAGCAGGAGCACGGGUGCCCGCUCCCUCGCGGCGGCCGUGCACGGGGGAAGAGAAGGAAGGCCGGGGCACGGAAGAGUAAGACGGAGGGGGAUGAGGAGGAGGUGAUGGUGCCGGGCCCACAGACCUUGCCGGGACCCAAGAUGACGGUGGCACGGGAGGCUGCUGCGGCACCUGUGGAUGAUGCGGAAGAGGCGGCCGUAGGAAUUAGGACGAGAAGGUCAGCGAGAUCCAAGGUGAAGGUCGCGCUGGAUCAGAAAGAGGAGGACGUACAAGCGGCGGCAGCCCGGAAGGAGCAGAAAGGUAACAACAAGUUCACGCUUCACCUGUGUAAUAGCUUGCAUUGAUUGGUUGAUUUCCUGUAAUUUGCCUGUAAGAGUCCUGCAUUCAACAUUAUUUGAAAGUUUAAUUUGUCUAAUGUUGGCCACCAGUCCCUUACGCUAAUUUCUGAACAUGCAACUGAUUAUUCCGAUGCGGCCAUUGGGUUUGCGGUAGUUUCAGAUAAGAGCUGCGAGGAUUCAGAAGAGCAUGCAAUAGUAGUAGGUGUGGUGGAGGAAGAAGAGGUCAGAAAGCCACAGGAAGGUCAAAACGUGACGAGGAGAGCCGCGCCAUAUAAGACACAUGAGGAUUUGCAGCCGGAUCAGAGGACGGCGGAAGAGUUGUCCAUGGCAAAGAAAAGGACGAGAAGGUCCACAAGAUCCAAGGUAGCAGCGGCAGCACAGAAGGGGCAGAAAGGUGAGGUCCACAAGUUCUCACCUCCCCUGUUUAACUCGGAUUGUUAGUUCUGAUUUUGAUGCUGAAUUAUUAGUAUAAUUUGAAAUUGUAGACUUGAUAUUGUUCGUGAACUAUAUCUGCUAAUUUCUGAAUGUGCAGCUGAUUCUUCUGACACAACCGUUGGACCUGAAAUUGAUCCUAAAUAUGAUGAAGUUGUUCCCAAGGUGGAGGAGGCCACAAAACCACAGGAAGGCAAGAAUGUCACUAAGAGGGCUACAGCUUAUAUUUACAAGGCACACGAGGAGGUGCAGACAGGCCAGGUGACAGCGGCACCCGAAGCUACGGCAGAAGAAGUGGCCACGACAAAGAGAAGGAGGAGGAGGUCAACAAGAUCCAAGGUGGGGGCGGCAGCACGGAAGGCUCAGAAAGGUGAGUUCGAAUUUUCGCUUCUCCUGUUUAACUCGUGUAUCCUUUUUUAUUCCUUUGGUUGCUGCUAUUCGAAUUGUAUAUAUCGUGCAGUCACUGAUGGUGAUAGUUUCAGAAUGUGCGGCUGAUACUUCUGAUGCAGUCAACGGGUCUACAGUAAGUGAUGAUCCUAAGGAAGAGCAAGUGGUUGAGGUGAUAGAGGAAGGGACAACAAAGCACAAUGAAGGUGAGAUGCCUCACUGGUCAGGCGGUGAUAGUUUGCACUUUGUCUCUGUCUCUCUCUCUCUAUCUCCCAACUUUCUGAUUUCCUGAACUAUGUGCUUUAGUGAACCUUUCUGUCAACUAAUUGCACAUCUUUAACUUUAAUGCAUCUUUGCCAUAAACCACAGAAGAACGAGAGCAAAUUAACAACGUUCGGCAGUUUGCUUCCUUGCCAAAACUGGAGGACUCACCAAUCCUUGGCAUCGUGUCCAAGCCCAAUACAGCAGAUGCUUCAGACAAGGCACCGGUUGCACAUCAGGAGGCUAGCAAGGAAGAUCGUUUCACUUUCACUGGUGAGGCUGAUGUGUCCAAUCUUCUUGUCAACACACUUGACAGAUUUGCAAAGCCUGUGUAUGAGUCCAGAGUCAAAGAGGAGAAGAAAUGCAGUGAGUGUUGGUGGAUGCUUCUAUAAUUUACAAGAGGUGUAGGACCAGGUCCAGUCAGAACUGCCAAAAGUAUCAAAUUACAUGAGAUCAUGUAAUGUGUGGGUCAAAAACUCUAGAAUCAGGAUUGGAGAGAUGGUUUAAGACACGAAUCUAAGCAAAGAAAAGGAAAAGGAAAGAAUCCUGAGAGUGUAAACAGAUGGUUUAUACUGGAGCAUGAGGCAGACAUGUAAGGCCACUGUGGACACCACCUCCGGCAUGGUUUACAUGAUAUUAAUUGACACCACCUCCGGCAUGGUCUUCGCCAUGAGGUCUGACAUUGUUUUGAAUGAAGUGGACAGUUUGUCUAGCUAAUUAAAAGUAAAAUUUUCUUGAAGUUGUCCAGGAUGCCCAUACGCUGGCAUGAUUGAGUUUUCCAUAAUGAUAUUUCUUUGCCACUGUUGACGCCUUUUGGAGCGCCAAAUACUCAAGCCGGCGGCGGUGCUCUCUGGUCAGGCGCGGACGGUCCGCGGCCUGGGGCCGGACGGUUCGCGACCUGGCGCGAGGCGGCGGUGCUCUCUGGUCAAGCGCGGACGGUCCGCGGCAAGGGGCCGGACGGUCCGCGACCUGGUGCAGGAGCUCGGGUUCUCUGCCUGACGAGCGGACGGUCCGCGCUCUAGGGCCGAACGGUCCGCGCGUACGCAGGGGCGGUGGAGGAUCGCCGGCGGCGCCUGGAUCUCGCUCCCGGGAGGGACCCCGUCGGGGAGGAGAGAUCCUAGGUGGUGUCCAGGCUCGGGUAGACCGACCUAGACUCCUCUAAUCGACGUAGAGUCGAGGAGAGGCGGAGAAUUUGGGGAUUGAGAGGCUAAACCUAAACUAGACUAGAACUACUCCUAGGAUAAAAUGCGAAUAAAAGUUGUAUUGAUUCGAUUGUUGAUGAUUACAAAUCGGUCGUAGACCUCUCUAUUUAUAGAGGAGGGGGGCUGGACCCUUUACACAACUGAUUCCGAGCUAAUCCCGCGAAUAUAGCUAACAACCGUAGCACAAAACUCGGAACCCUAAUCUGUUCUGCGCACGCGCGGACAGUCCGGCCCACAGGCGCGGACCGUCCGGACCGCGGACCGUCCGGCCUCAGGGCCGGACAGUCCGCCGGCUCAUUUCUGGUUCGAACAUAUGCCCCCCUGCCUUUUGGUGGAGCUGGGCGAACCAAAAGCAAUCUAACUCGAUGUGAUCACAUCGGUUUUCUUAGGCAUCUUGCCACAUACUAGGAUGAUACUGUUUGAGGAAACUCCCAUUCAAAGCCUUAGGUAAAUCCUUGCCUUGUAAUGUUUGUAGUAAAUAAGUGUUACCAGACAUCACCUGUUUCACUUUAUAAGGACCCUCCCAGCUUGGCGACCAUUUCCCGAACUUUCGGUCUUUAUUCCUUAGAGGUAGAAUGGUCUUCCACACCAAGUCUCCUACUUGGAAUGAUUUUGCUUUGACCUUCUUGUUGUAGGCCCUGGCUACCAUGAUCUUGUCCUUUUCUAUUGCUCCCAAAGCUAUCAUUCUUUUGUCGGUCACCUCAUCAAUAUUAUCCAUCAUUGAAUUAUAAUAAUCAGUAGCAGUUAGAUCAUUUUGUCUGGCAAACCUGACAGCAUUCAAACUUAUUUCCACAGGUAACACUGCUUCCUGCCCAUAGACAAGCUCAAAAGGAGAUACUUUAGUAGCACUAUGUUUAGAUACUCUAUGAGCCCAUAAAGCUCCAGACAAAAUCUUAUGCCAAUGUUUAGGAUUGUCAGAUACCUUCUUCUUUAUUAAAUUAAUCAACGUCCUAUUACUAGACUCGGCCUGUCCAUUGGCCUGAGCAUAAUAUAGAGACGAAUUAAGCAGCUUAAUUCUGUAUAAUUCAGCAAAUUCACGUACCUCCUUUGACAUAAAAGAAGUACCUUGAUCUGUAGUCAAGGUCUGGGGAAUGCCGAAUCUAUGAAUAAUAUGCUCAGUUAUGAACUCAAUUACCUCCUUGUGCGUCAUGUUCUUUAGAGCAACGGCUUCAAUCCAUUUGGUGAAAUAGUCAGUGGCAACUAACACAAACCGAUGCCCCUUUGAUGAUGAAGGAUGAAUUUCUCCAAUAAAGUCUAAUCCCCAUCCUCUGAAUGGCCAAGGCUUGAUGAUAGGAUGUAAUUCGGCUGCAGGGACCAACUGUAGGUCACCGAAUUUUUGACACACUUGGCACCCCUUGUAGUAUUUGAAACAAUCAGCUGUCAUACUAGGCCAAUAAAAACCAGACCUUCGCAACAACCACUUCAUCUUUGGAGCUGAUUGAUGGGUACCACAAAUUCCUUCAUGUACUUCGGCCAUGGCUAAUAUAGCAUCAUCUGGGCCCAAGCACUUAAGGAGGACAUCAUUAACCGUUCGGCGGUAAAGUUCAUCACUCAUCAAAACAUACUUGAAAGCUGUUCGCCGAAUGUUCUUAUCUGUCCUGAUAUUGGGAUUUUGCAAAUAAUUAAGUAUAGGUGUCCUCCAAUCACUUGCCUCGGCUUCAUUGUCAGCCGAAUCGAUUAAGAGAACAUUUCUGGUAACCUCGGACGGUCCGGCGUCAUCACGCGGACGGUCCGCGACCUGUGAAUUUGGCUCUGCACUGAUUAUCAGAUUUUCAGUUUUGUGAAAUUUCCCUCUCUUUAUCCGAUAACCUGAUGCAUCUUGUGCCAAAUUGUUAGCUCUAUGAUUCUCAACUCUAGAGAUAUGCCGAAUACUGAAUUCGUCAAAAGAAUGGAUUAUGCUCCAACAUUUCUCAAGAUAACUAUUUAGAGUACCAUCAAGACAUUGAUAUUCUUCUAACACUUGUUGGACAACCAGCUGAGAAUCACCAAAUACCUUCACAUGUUUUACUUCCAUACCAUUUAAAAGUUCUAAACCGAAUAGGAGGGCCUCAUAUUCAGCUUGAUUAUUAGUGCAAUAAGUUUUCAAUCGGCUAGAGAAGUCAAAGGAGACAUUACUUGGUGAAACAAGCACAAUGCCAAUUCCUUGCCCUUCAUUGCAAACCGAUCCAUCAAAAUAUAAAGUCCAAGGAGUAAUAGUGAGGUAUGAUAUGUCUAGUUCAUGAAUAUCAUUAACCCGAUGUUCUACAAUAAAAUCCGCUACAACUUGGCCUUUCAUAGAUUUCAAUGGUUCAUAAGCCAAGUCAUAUUCUAUGAGUGCAUAAGCCGACUUACCAAUUCUACCACUCAUAAUUGGGUUAUGCAACAUGUACUUGAUUACAUCGGCUUGACCAGAAACAGUGCAAUGACUAGACAGUAAAUAACAUCUACAUUUGGUGCAUGCAUAAAACAAGCAUAAGCAUAACUUUUCAAUAAAAGUGUACCUUGUUUCAGCAUCCACCAACCUUCGGCUUAGAUAUGUCACCACAUGCUCCUUCCCCUCAGUUUCUUGUGUCAGAACAGCCCCAAUAACCUUGUCUUCAGCUGCAAUGUAUAAUCUGAAUGGUGCUCCUACUUGUGGUGCUUUUAACACGGGAGCCGAAGACAAGUAUUUUUUAAUGAGAUCAAAUGCUUCCUACUGCUCUGCCCCCCAAGUGAAUUUAGCAUCAUUCUUAAGCCGAAGGAUAGGGGUGAAGGCAUCAAUCUUCCCGGCUAAGUUAGAAAUAAACCUUCGUAAAUAAUUCACCUUGCCGAGAAACCUCUGCACUUCGACCUUACACGUCGGAGGCCCCACAUUCCGAAUAGACUUGAUUCGGUCAGGGUCUAUUUCUAUACCAUGUUCAUGGAUGACAAAUCCUAAAAACUUACCAGCUGACACUCCAAAAGCACAUUUACGUGGGUUCAUUUUUAAACCAUACCGACGCAUUUUAUCAAAGGCUUUGCGCAAAUCAGCUAUAUGAGAACUAAACUCAGCCGAUUUGACUACAAUAUCAUCAAUGUAGACUUCCACAGUGUUUCCUAACAACUCAUGGAAGAUCAGAUUCAUAGCCCUCUGAUAAGUAGCACCAGCAUUUUUAAGACCGAAUGUCAUGACAACCCAUUCAAAUAAACCAAUGAAGCCUGGACAUAUAAAGGCUGUUUUAGACGCAUCUUCUUCGGCCAUGAAAAUCUGAUUAUAUCCGGCAUUACCAUCAAGGAAGCUAAUAAUUCUAUUCCCUGAUGCAUUAUUGAUUAAUGUGUCGGCUAUGGGCAUGGGAUAUUCAUCUUUAGGAGUUGCUUUAUUUAAAUUACGAAAAUCAAUGCAUACUCUAAGCUUACCUGACUCCUUAUUCUCCACCGGCACAAUAUUGGAGACCCACUCUGCGUAUCUGCAAGGUCUAAUAAAAUUAGCUUCUAGCAGCCGGUGGAUUUCGUCCUUGAUUCAUGGGAGAAGAUCUGGACGAAAUGUUCUAGCUUUCUGCUUGAAAGGUCUGAAACCAGGCUUAAUAGGCAGCCGAUGUUCGAUAAUUUCUCGGCUUAGUCCAGGCAUUUCAGUGUAAUUCCAAGCAAAACAAUCUGAAUAUUCCUUCAAUAGACCGAUCAUCUCAUUUCUAGAAUCGGUCUCCAGGGUCUUGUUUACAAAAGUCGGCCUUGGAGUUUUACCAUCUCCUAUGUCAAUCUCCUCCCAAGGAUCGGCCGAUGUAAACCCCUGUCCUAGUUUAUCAAGAUCUCUGAAUUCCUCUAUCAUGUCCCCCACAGAGGAAUCAGAUGAUCUUUGUGUGAUGGCGGACUUUCCGGUCUCGGGGACCGGAUCAUCCGUAAUACUGUCUUCUCGCUGUGGUAGAUGUUCGGUUUUAAAGUCCGAACUCUUUUGUGAGAGACCAGACCAUCCGGCCUUGGCGGCCGAACUGUCCGUGACCAAAGACUCAUGAACUUUGUGUGUAUUCAUCAUUUAACUUUAUUUAGGAUUUAGCCAAUUCUCCAUCGGCUCUAGCAUUACAGGAAUGAAACCUUUCUUAUCUAUACUUAUGAAUUGAUAAUCAGAAAAGUCUACUCCUGUGAGACAUGUAGCAGUCUCAUAAGUCCAGAGUACAGGGGCAUCGGCCACAGCGAUGCAGGCCGAUACAUCAGCAUGUACUUGUUCUAUGUCAUCGCCUACCCAUUGUAUCAACAUUUGAUGUAAUGUAGAAGGUAUACAUUGAUUGACGUGAAUCCAAUCUCUGCCUAGGAUUAAACUGUAAUUUCCUUCUACAUCAGCGACGAAGAAUGCAGCAGCAAGGGUCUUAGUCCCGAUGGUUAAUUCAACGGACGUGACUCCCCUGGCUUUGAUCGAACUAUCAGUUCCAACACCGCUAAGGGUCAUGUUGGUCUUGACAAGUUCGUCAUCUUGUUUACCUAAUUUUCUGUAUAAUGAAUAAGACAUUAGAUUUACAGCCGCCCCUCCAUCUACCAACAUCUUAGCAAUCGGUAUCCCAUCAUUGUGGCCGCGCACGAAGAGCGGCUUUAAAUGAUUUACCGAUUCUUUUGGUUUAGUAAAGGCGGCUUCUUUAGGACCAAAAUCAAACUGGGCAACAACAGGUUCAUCGUCGCCGAUAAUAGUACAAUCGGCAGAAAAUAUAAUAAUAUUUACAUCCAUACCUGGGUGUUCUGGAGAAGCCUCGUAGUCGACCAGGUCUUCUCCCAGCAGGUCGUCCUCUUCCAUUGAGGUUGUCGUGUCGUUGGUGGCUUCCUGGUGAACGGCGGACGGUCCGCGUGCGGUGGCCGGACGGUCCGCACCUGGUGCAGGUUGUCCAGAGACUUCCUGGUGAACGGCGGACGGUCCGCGCGUAGGGGCCGGACGGUCCGCGCCUGGUGCAGAUUGACUUUCUAUUUCUGUGUCCGUUUGUUUUUUCUCAACGGCCUUCGGUCUCCAUUUCUUUUGCGGUGGCGGGUAUAGUGGAUGUGUGUCAUUAAAUGUCUUUUCCGCCUCCUUCUUCUGGCUCUCCUUUGCCCUUAGGCGCUGUAAUUUUCUCUUUUGGGAUCGUGUCAAUCCCGCUGGGCACCAUCGAGGCAUGGAGUAUUUUGGAUCGGCUGUUUUGAUGGUAGCCGUAUCCUUUUCGGUUGUGUUGGCCGAUUCGCCGAAAAUCAUCGGCCUUUUAUUGUCUCCCUGUAUGACAACAUCUGCGGUGCCUAUUUUGAUGAUGUCCUUUUUUGUUGUUUUUUGAGUUGCUGCAGGCAUAUGCCCCCCUGCCAGAUUGGUCGGCCUGGAAGGCCGAGUAGUCCGGCAAUCCUGUUGGGUUUGUGCCUGGUGACCGGAUUGAGCAGUGCUCAAUCGGUCUUGAACUGGUGGCGUCAACCUGUCAAAAACAGAUGUUUGGGGUGCCCCCCAGGCGGGGUACUGUGGCAUCCCAAAUGGAUAUGGUGGCAUGCCCCACAUUUGAUUUGGGACAUAUGGUGGAGGUAAGUAUGUGUAUGGAUAUGGCAUAGAUGGAUAAGAGGGUGGAGGUGUCCAUGUCGGCAUGUUAGGUCUCAAUUGUACAAUAGGACCUUUCAUUUCAUCCGAUUGGUGAGGUGGUCCAAUCGGCCUGACCUGACGUUGCUCAUGAAUGGGUGAGCGAGGUCGCUUUGGUGGCCGGUCACUAGGGCCGGCCUUCUUUUUCACGUAUUUAGACAACAAUUGAUCGAAAGUCGGGCCAGGCUUGAUCAACCGACCAGCUGCUUUAAAUGUAUUUGUUUUCCACGUACCUAUCUCAGGUCGUCGUGGUUUGAAGGUACGCGGUCGCUGCGGGUCCUGAGCACGGCCGGACCGUCCGCCAGAGUCCUCCGGACCGUCCGGCGAAGCGUCGGACCGUCCGCGUCUGGACGACGGACUGUCCGUGAUACGCAGCACGGGUUCCCGCAACUGUCUUCCCGUCUGCGCUUGCCCCCCAGUGCUAGAGGCUGUGAUAGUCACCUUCAGGGUCUCCCCUCCAUCGGGAGUCUUCUCGGCCACCACUUUCCUGCAAGAAGCUUUACAAUCCCCAUCGACCUUUUUAGCAUUGCCGAUGAUUGUUUCCUUGCCUUUGCCUUUAUCGGCUGUGUUUGGCCGAACUAGGACUUUCUUGCCCUCGAAAUCAAUCAUGUUCAUAGGAAAGGGCUCUGUAUCCACCUGAAUUUCCUGAAAUUUCAAUCGUCCCUCGUUAAUGGCCGAUUGAAUCUGUCGCCUAAAUACAUUACAAUCAUUAGUGGCAUGAGAAAAUGAAUUAUGCCACUUGCAGUAUGCGCGACGUUUUAGCUCGUCGGCAGAUGGAACAGUGUGAUUUAUUUUAAUGUUGCCAUUUUUUAGUAAUUCAUCAAAUAUUUUAUCACACUUGCCAACAUUAAACGUAAACUUAACCUCCUCUUGCCGUUUCUUUUGAACCGGCUGUAAGGAGGAACAAACCGAAGAUUUGGCCUGUUUUGGCCAAACCAUUUCAGCAGCGUACACUUCCGCUGAUUCGUCAUCCGAGCUACUUUGGUCGCAUUCUACUAUGUGUACGUUGUGACGCAUUGUUUUAGUAGUUUCUUUGCUCCGGCUUUCGCAAGCCAAAGCCCUCUGGUGUAACUGUGCUAGUGUAAAAAAUUGGAUGCCUUCUAAUCUUUCUUUUAAAUAAUAUCGCAGACCAUUAAAGGCUAAUCCUACUAGCUGUUUUUCUGCUAAAUGAAUUUAAAAGCAUCGGUUUCUUGUAUCGCGGAAUCUUCGGAUGUAAUCAUUAACCGAUUCGUCCUUUGUUUGUCGUAAUGACACUAAAUCUACCAAAUCCAACUCAUAGUCACCGGAGAAAAAAUGAUCAUGAAAUUUUUGUUCUAGAUCCCCCCACGAUAAAAUGGAAUUAGGAGGUAAAGUGGCAUACCAGGCAAACGCGGUUCCUGUUAGAGAUAAUGAAAAUAAGCGUACGCGAAAUGCCUCUGUGUCGGCCAAUUCUCCCAAUUGUGCUAAGAACUGGCCUAUAUGUUCACGCGUGUUUUUCCCUUGAUCACCCGAAAAUUUUGCGAAUUCGGGUAUUCUAGUUCCCUAUGGGUACGGGUGGUGAUCAAAUCGGCUGUCAUAAGGUUUCCGAUAUGAUUGCCCCCCAAGGAUCAUGCUUACUCCGAGCUUAUCUCGGAACGCCCCGGCUAUUUCUUCCCUUACUAUAUCAAUGGCAGCCGGUGCAAGACCACCGGCUCUCUGGUCAAACAUAGGUGGGGUUGGUUGCAUGUUAGUAUGUUGUCGUUCCCCCCAUUGGUUUGAGCUACGUGGUGCAUUUCCAUUUGCCCUAUAUGGCUCAUAGGUUUGAUCGUUUCUUUCCGGCCUUCUAGGUGGGGCCGGAAAGCUUUCCUGGGCUCUGGAUCCUGAAUUAAUGGGCUGGUGCAUUGCAUAGUGUGAUGGGAAGUGUUGCUGGGACGAGCGAGGAUUCAGGUGAUAAUCCUCCUCAAAAGACUCAUGCGCGGACUGUCCGGCUAUGUACCCGGACCGUCCGUGAUUAUAUGCGGACCGUCCAUCGUUGUAUGCGGACCGUCCGACUGGGUAGUUUGGGUUCUGUGCCGUGUGUGGUGGCUCGGGCGCAUAUCUAGGUAACUCAUUAAAAAUAGGCUCGACUGUUGCUGGCCCGGACGGUCCGCGCUCACGUGCGGACGGUCCGGGCAUGUGCAGAUCGGCUGGUUUGCUGCCGAUUUGCGGUUGCUUAGGGUAUGUGUCCAUCGGCAUCCCAUAAAGGGGUUGUGACUGGUCAUGACAACUUGUAGCCGAUGUGUUACACGCGUUAUCUCCUAACUCAACCUCGUGCGAAGGAAAAUUUGCGGUACUAGAUUUAUCAAAUGCACGUACUAGUCUCUUAAGAUCGCUUUGCAUACCCCCUAUGAUGUUCUGCAUUUGUUCACGCUGAUCUUCUACAUAAUUUCUAAGAGAUUGCAGAUCGUUGGUAUUACUUACAUUGGGGAUAUCUGGCGUGGGUUGGAGCAAAGCCGGAUCCGUCGCCCGAUGUCGGACGACCUUGUUGUUCCUGUCCACUUUGAAGUUGGCCAAGAACUUUGCUUUCGCCUCCUGGAUCAUCCGCUCCUUGUGCUCCUCAAACUGGAGCUGCUCGUCCGCCGGCAAGGUUUCCCAAGUCGGCUCUAUGAUGUUGCUUGGAGAAAUAUCAGAGCUAUCCCUUGAACCGGCCAUUGAGGGCCGAUUUGAUAAGCUUAGAUAUGUUUUCCCCAGCGGAGUCGCCAAAAAGUAUGUUGACGCCUUUUGGAGCGCCAAAUACUCAAGAAGAACCGGCGGCGGUGCUCUCUGGUCAGGCGCGGACGGUCAGCGGCCUGGGGCCGGACGGUCCGCGACCUGGCGCGAGGCGGCGGUGCUCUCUGGUCAAGCGCGGACGGUCCGCGGCACGGGGCCGGACGGUCCGUGGCACGGGGCCGGACGGUCCGCGACCUGGUGCAGGAGCUCGGGUUCCCUGCCUGACGACCGGACGGUCCGCGCCCUAGGGCCGGACGGUCCGCGCGUACGCAGGGGCGGCGGAGGAUCGCCGGCGGCGCCUGGAUCUCGCUCCCGGGAGGGACCCCGUCGGGGAGGAGAGAUCCUAGGUGGUGUCCAGGCUCGGGUAGACCGACCUAGACUCCUCUAAUCGACGUAGAGUCGAGGAGAGGCGGAGAAUUUGGGGAUUGAGAGGCUAAACCUAAACUAGACUAGAACUACUCCUAGGAUAAAAUGCGAAUAAAAGUUGUAUUGAUUCGAUUGUUGAUGAUUACAAAUCGGCCGUAGACCUCUCUAUUUAUAGAGGAGGGGGGCUGGACCCUUUACACAACUGAUUCCGAGCUAAUCCCGCGAAUAUAGCUAACAACCGUAGCAUAAAACUCGGAACCCUAAUCUGUUCUGCGCACGCGCGGACAGUCCGGCCCACAGGUGCGGACCGUCCGGACCGCGGACCGUCCGGCCUCAGGGCCGGACAGUCCGCCGGCUCAUUUCUGGUUCGAACAGCCACCAUAUCAGUCUGCCAAUCAGCACAAGUUAUAAGAAAAACAGCCCAUUAAGGAUUGUUUGGAAGCAAGAAUACCAAAAGGGGUUAGAGUAGCUAAAAUUCUUUUAAUAUUCAAAAUUGAAUAGUAAAGAGAUUUUAGCCCCUCCAAUUUCUUUCGGAGUCUUUGCUCCCAAACAAGCUCUUAAUAAGCAGAGAGAAAAACGUGAGAUUUUCCAACAACCAUCAAAUCGCCUGUGCUAUAUCGUAACAAUUCAUAAAUGGACAUGUCUUUUGUUCUCGAUUUGCUAUUAUGUGCGUCCAUACAAAAUGACACGGCGCAUGAACAUAUACGCUCUCUCGAGGAGGAAAAAAAAAGGUUAGACUAACUCAUCAGCAUAUGUUAACUUCAGUCCAGUUUCUCCUCACUGGUAGCAUAUGUUAACUUCAGUCCAUAUAGCCAGAUAUAUGUAACCUUCAAAGCUACCCCAGCUCCAUUUGAAAAAAGAAUGGACAACUGUCCAAAGCAGCAAAAUGUCAGCUGCAUUUCUCCUACUCCCGGGACCUGUCAAAGAAAGAUGAAGAUUCACCCAGACGGUAAUAAUCGAUAAUUACCAAAGAUCCAGUGGUGCUAAACUAGGGGCAAAUUUUAAAAGUACGGCUACCUCUUCAAAGACGAUCCAGAGCUUUUACCAUUCUCUUCAGAAAGAUGCACUUUGUUAUCAUCUUGGCUAUUGCCUUCAUCAUCUGAAAUCGCAUCUAUGGAGUUUGUAGACCCUGCUCUAUUCAGGCUGGCAAAUCUUCUAGGAAGAAAAACGUUGUAGCAAUACUUAGCCAAGUCUGUUGUUCUCUCUGAGCUAAACUGCUUCAAGGCAACCUCCAUGAAGUCUUCAAUAGUACUCUUACUCUGAGGAAUCAACUUCUCAAAAUCAGCAAGUUUUUUCUUGUCUUCUGCAGUCCAUAACUUCAGAACUCGCUCACCCAUCGCACCAAACCCACAGUUUUUGAAAGCCUGCUCACCCAAUUGAUACUUGACCCUCUUCCAGGCCUCUUUUACAUUAACUUCUACGUAGGCCUCAGAUCCAGGAUGAUAGCAUUUACACAUGUCAUUCACUGCUUUCCUUGCCUUCGGUGGCUCCAAAGUGGGUGGCAGCCUGACCACUGUGCCCAUCCUUUGCAAGGUAUCAUUAUCAUUUCUGUAGUUAGCCUUACAUUCCUCAGAUGGGUCAUUAAUCCACUCAGGGACAGCAGCUUGACAUCUGACAGGGUCUAUUCCAAUAUGUUUCUUUGUGCUUAUUUGUGGUUUCUUUUUUGUUUCUGUUAGCAUCCAGAAAUGAAUUAGAUAAUGAUUUGAACAAAACUUUAAAAUGGUAGAUGAAAAGUUGGGAGGCACCAAACAGUAAUAACAACAAAUAUUUAUCAAGACUGACACUGGAAACGGGAUCAGCGAUAUAUGUUUUUCAUUGACAGAAGAGAUGGGCACAAAAAAAUCAGUCUUAUGGCAAACAAUUUUCACACAUUUCUACAUAGCAUUACUAGUCAAAGACCCUUGAUAUAUGACAAUUUAGCAAAUCUAAGAACCAAUCCACUCAUGCAUGACCAGGAGCACAUAUCUACAGCUAUGAUACCUUAUUUCCUGAAGCAUGAACACAAAUAAUUAUUAUGAACUAUCAUCUAUACACAAGCACUUGCACUUGUUAAAUCAUCUGAUUUGACUGUCAUCGGACAGCGCAGAUCAUGGCUCCUUGUAUUCUUUCUUCCAUAAUCAAACAUAACCAACGGAAGACACAUGAUAAGUGAUAGAAUAAAACAUCAAGAACCAACGCCUUGCCUGAAUCCUUUUCCCACAAAAUCAAUGAAAAUCUAACUAUAAUAAUAAUUUAAUUAAGCAAAAAAUAUUCUUCCUACAAAGUCACAGUAGACGUUCUACAAAUUGCAACGUCGACAAUGAGAGUGGUAAUAAAACUAACAGUGCAAUAUUCCAGUAUACAUACUAACUAGGCGUGUCGUGUGACACAAUCAGAAAAUCUCAAUCAAGGAAAUAAUGAAACAACAAGAACUACACCAUCAGAAAUCUGAAACAAGGUAACAGUGAAAAACAUUAAUGACAAGGCAGCAGCAGAACUUGACGAUGAUGGCAACAGUUCAACGAUUUCUUUCACAAACACACAACUCCAGCCAAUAAUUUCAUCCAAUAAAACCACCAUCCGUCAAUGUGACGUAAUCUUGACAUGGGAACCAUGACCAAGAUAAUCCCACCACAAUAAUGUGGAAACUAGUAGCACCACUCUCCAUUUGAUCAUCUUAAGCAUGCUCAAGAGGCAAAAUUUGUCAUAUCAAACAAUACCAGAAUUAAUAACGCACGAGAAAUGGAAGAUACAGACAAUCUUGGCCCUUCCAACUAAAAAUGGCAUGUUAUUCGGAUACAGAAUCUGACACGAGAAAUGAAAGAUGCAGACGAACCAAUUGCCAUCCAGACAGCAGAGAAUCUCGCUCUGAAGAAACGGUUACAGGCUUACAGCAAGCGAGACGCAUGAAGAGACAACAGCUGAUAAUUACGUGUCCUAACGAAUACAGAGGCAUUCAAUGGUGGCGAGUGAAAGACACCUAACGAAACUUUUUCCUGAGCGGAUCGGAACUACGGCAAGCCUAAAAACACCGAUAAUAUUUGGUCCAUUUUAGAAUAAAAUUUUACGAGAGCGACGGCGAUCCUCGUGCAAGCAAAUCCCAAGAAUUCGAACGCGUCGAGAGAACCCUGCAGUUCGGCCCAGAAAGAGCGGUCACCUCGGAGAAAGGCAUGUCGGGGUUGAGCUGGGAGCGCACACACCACAACAACAGGAUCACCGUCCCCAGCGACUCCAAGUCGACGUCGAGGCGACGGUUGCGCCCGCACACCACCGACCGCUCCCCCGCGGCCGCGCGCCGUGCCCACGCCACCGCGCCUUCCACGUCCACUUGCGCCGCCGCCGAGCUCCGCGUCGCGCGCCUGGGCGACGGGGCCUCGGUGCCCCUCUUGCGCUUCCUUGGACGCUCCGGGGGCCCGGACCCCCGGGUACGCACGGGAGCUACCGAGUUGGACGUCAGACUCGAGCAUCGGGAGCGCCGCCUCCGCCGGCGAGAUGCUUGCGGGAAUGCGGCGGCGCGGCGUGGUUUUGGAGAGGGCCUUUAGCUUUAGGCGCCUGGGUUGGUGUCCCGCACUCCCGCUCUGCAUUUGACUUGCCGUUGCCUCUUUCUUUUUUUUCCUUUCUGAAACCUUGCCGUUGUGGCGUUGUCCUUGUAGGGUAUUUGCGAGAGACGCCGGCCGCCUCUAGCGGUGGCUGCCGGGCGCCGGCUGCGCUGCCUCGGCAUUCGGCAACCUCACCAUGUGAACCUGCCUUUGUAUGAACAUCAGUCAUGAUAAGUACUUCCACCUCCAUGUAAAACCCAAUUAAAUGAGGUGUCUUUUAAAAAUCUAUAGAAGGCUAAGUGAACUCUUCACGAAGAGUCCAUCUUCAUAUAAACUCUCUCUAUAUAUUGUGUAUUAACUUUAUUUAUAAUUUAAGAGUUUAUGAUUGUGUCAUAUAGUCUUUUAGAUGUCUUUUAUAGUUGGAAAUCUGAACUAGUCUCUAGGUCGUACAUGCCCUAAGGGUCCUAGGUGGAAAUGAUUUGGUGACCUUUUAAAUUUUCGUAGUAUUUGAUUUCACAUAAGUCUAAUUUUUUAUGAUUUUUUGCUAGAAGAGACAGAAUAAAGGGAUGUUUUACCAAAUAAAUAUAUCUGACGAUUUGUUUAUAUCAUUAAUUGUCCUGGCCAUCUCAAGCAAACUUUGAUCUACUUAUCCUGAUCAAGUUGAUCCCAACCUCAAUCAUCCUAGACAAACCUGGACUUGGUUACCCUGACCAGGUCAACCUCAACCUUAGAUCGACCAAAGUGAGAACCAACAUGGUCAGUGGUCACUCAGGCCAGGUUGACCUUAACUCUAGUCGCUCUGAGCUAAAUCAACAUAGGUCAUACUAACCUUAUAAGACUCUCUAGCGCCACAAUCUGGUGGUCCCAUGCAGGGGCGAACAGAGAGGGAGGGUUGCUAGGGCUACAAUCUCGGUCGUGAGCAAAAAAGUACCAGAGUGGAUCUUCUUACUAGCCCAAAUGCCUCCUUUAUAACCUACCAUGUACCAGCUACAUACACAUCCAAUACAUGUCCAUUACGACACUGAUAGGUGGCAAUGGUGAGAGCACCUAGAGGGGGGGUGAAUAGGUGAUCCUGUAAAACUUCAAAACUUAAGCCACAAAAACUCGUUAAGUGUUAGCACAGUUAUGGCCAAGUGGCUAGAGAGGAGUCAAAACACAAUAACCACAAGAAAUCAAUCACAGAGAUGACACGGUGGUUAUCCCGUGGUUCGGCCAAGUACAAAACUUGCCUACUCCACGUUGUGGCGUCCCAACGGACGAGAGUUGCACUCAACUUCUCUCAAGUGAUCCAAUGAUCAACUUGAAUACCACGGUGUUCUUCUUUUCUUUUCUCAAUCCCGUUUGCGAGGAAUCUCCACACUUUGGAGCCUCUCGCCCUUACAAAAGAUGUUCACAGAGAAUCACGGAGCAAGGGAGGGAUUAGCAACUCACACACGACACAAAGAUCACAGCGAAUACGCACACACAAGACCCAGACUUGAGCUCAAGAAACUAGCACACUAGAACGGAGCUCAAAUCACUAGAAUGUCGAACAAGUGCGCAAGAUUGAUGUGUGAGUGAUCAAGAGUGCUCAAGGAAUGCUUGGUUCUCUCCUCCAUGCGCCUAGGGGUCCCUUUUAUAGCCCCAAGGCAGCUAGGAGCCGUUGAGAACAAAUCUGGAAGGCCAUCCUUGCCUUCUGUCGUCGGGCGCACCGGACAGUCCGGUGCACACCGGACACUGUCCGGUGCCCGAUUUCUUUCCUUAACAGGCGCAGCCGACCGUUGCCGACUGUUGCAGAUCUGGCGCACUGGACAGUCCGGUGCACACCGGACAGUCCGGUGCCUCCUUCCGACCGUUGGCCAGACCACGUGUCGCGCGCAGAUUCCGCGGCCGACCGUUGGCUCGGCCGACCGUUGGCUCACCGGACAGUCCGGUGCACACCGGACAGUCCGGUGAAUUAUAGUCGUACGCCGUCGGCAAAAUUCCCGAGAGCGGCCUCUUCGCCCGAGGCAGCCUGGCGCACCGGACACUGUCUGGUGCCCCAGACCGAAGCAGCCUUUUGGCUGUACACAGCCAACUCUUCUUCUUCCUUCUUCUCUCUGUUUCUAACACUUAGAUAAGUAUGUUAGUACACAAAACCAAUGUACUAAGGCUUAGAAACAUACCUUUACUUGUGAUUUGCAACUUGUCCAUCCAUGGGCAUAGAUUCACAUUUAAGCACUUUGUGUUGGCACUCAAUCACCAAAAUACUUAGAAAUGGCCCAAGGGCACAUUUCCCUUUCAAUCUCCCCCUUUUUGGUGAUUUAUGCCAACACAACAUAAAGCAACUAGAACAAGUUCAAAAUCACUUCAAAUAAAACAAAUUUGAGUUUUAUUCAAUUUUGGCAUAUAUGGAUCAUCGUUUGCCACCACUUGGUUUGUUUUUGUAAAUCAAACUCACAUCUCUAUCUCUAAGUCAAACACACAUGUUGAAGCAUAAAGAGAGUCAUUCCAAAAAGAGAUUGAUCAAAGAUUUCAAAAACUCCCCCUAUUUCCCAUAAUCAAUACUUCUCCCCACAAGAAGCCAACUUUUGACAAAAGAGACAACAAGAGAGUUUUGACAAAACAAAAGCUCUACUUUACUAUUUUCAAAUCUCUGAAGUGGUAGCUGAUCCAUUUAUUGCUUUUGCCUUUAUUUUCUCCCCCUUUGGCAUCAAGCACCAAAACGGGAUCAACUUUGGCCCUUUAACCCCAUUGCCUCACCAAAAACUUCAAUAAGAUCAAUUGGCAAUAAGAGUUCAUGAGAUGGACUUGGAAUAAGUUACCCUCUCAUCGGAGUGCAGUGGAAGUCUUUCAUGGUCCAAGUCCACCUUUUCCCUUUCAAUUUUCCUUCGAGACUAAAUCAAACAAUCUCAAGCAUAUGGUUAGUCUCAAAGGGUCAAGUUGUAACACAUCUCCCCCUAAACAUGUGCAUCACUUUUGCAACGGACUUGUGAGGUCCAGGGAGUGUUUGUACAACUUGAGCACCAUAAUAAGCAACAAAAUGCAGAAUGAACAUGAUCAAAGGCAUAAACACAUGUAUGCUACAAUUCAAUCCAAGUUCCGCGAAUCUAAGACAUUUAGCUCACUACGCAGCCUGCAAAAGGUCUUCUCAUCUAGAGGCUUGGUAAAGAUAUCGGCUAGCUGGUUCUCGGUGCUAACAUGAAACACUUCGAUAUCCCCCUUUUGCUGGUGGUCUCUCAAAAAGUGAUGCCGGAUGUCUAUGUGCUUUGUGCGGCUGUGCUCAACAGGAUUUUCCGCCAUACGGAUAGCACUCUCAUUGUCACAUAGGAGUGGGACUUUGCUCAGAUUGUAGCCAAAGUCCCGGAGGGUUUGCCUCAUCCAAAGUAGUUGCGCGCAACACUGUCCUGCGACAACGUACUCGGCCUCAGCGGUGGAUAGGGCAACGGAAGUUUGUUUCUUAGAGUUCCAUGACACCAGGGACCUUCCUAAGAAUUGGCACGUCCCCGAUGUGCUCUUCCUAUCGACCUUACAUCCAGCAUAGUCGGAGUCUGAGUAUCCAACCAAGUCAAAGGUAGACCCCUUUGGAUACCAGAGCCCGAAGCAAGGCGUAGCAACUAAAUAUCUCAGAAUUCGCUUCACCGCCACUAAGUGACACUCCUUAGGAUCGUAUUGAAAUCUAGCACACAUGCAUACGCUAAGCAUAAUAUCCGGUCUACUAGCACAUAAGUAAAGUAAUGAACCUAUCAUUGACCGGUAUGCUUUUUGAUCAACGGACUUACCUCCUUUAUUGAGGUCGGUGUGUCCGUCGGUUCCCAUCGGAGUCUUUGCGGGCUUGGAGUCCUUCAUCCCAAACCGCUUUAGCAGAUCUUGCGUGUACUUUGUUUGGGAGAUGAAGGUACCGUCCUUGAGUUGCUUCACUUGGAACCCAAGGAAGUAGUUCAACUCGCCCAUCAUCGACAUCUCGAAUUUCUGCGUCAUCACCCUGCUAAACUCUUCACAAGACUUUUGGUUAGUAGAACCAAAUAUUAUGUCAUCGACAUAAAUUUGGCACACAAACAAAUCACCAUCACAUGUCUUUGUAAAAAGAGUUGGAUCAGCUUUCCCAACUUUGAAAGCAUUAACAAUUAGAAAGUCUCUAAGGCAUUCAUACCAUGCUCUUGGGGCUUGCUUAAGUCCAUAGAGCGCCUUAGAGAGCUUACACACAUGGUCGGGGUACUGUUCAUCCUCGAAGCCAGGGGGUUGCUCCACGUACACCUCUUCCUUGAUUGGCCCGUUGAGGAAUGCGCUCUUCACAUCCAUUUGGUACAGCCUGAAAGAAUGAUGAGCGGCAUAUGCUAGCAAGAUACGAAUUGAUUCUAGCCUAGCCACAGGAGCAAAAGUCUCCUCGAAAUCCAAACCUGCGACUUGGGCAUAACCUUUUGCCACAAGUCGAGCCUUGUUUCUCGUCACCACCCCGUGCUCGUCCUGUUUGUUGCGGAACACCCACUUGGUUCCCACAACAUUUUGCUUCGGACGAGGCACCAGUGUCCAAACUUCAUUCCUCUUGAAGUUGUUGAGCUCCUCCUGCAUGGCCAACACCCAGUCCGGAUCUAGCAAGGCCUCCUCUACCCUGAAAGGCUCAAUAGAAGAGACAAAGGAGUAAUGCUCACAAAAAUUAACUAAUCGAGAUCGAGUAGUUACUCCCUUGCUAAUGUCACCCAGAAUUUGGUCGAUGGGAUGAUCCCUUUGAAUCAUUGCUCGAACUUGGGUUGGAGGUGCCGGUUGCGCUUCUUCUUCCAUUACAUUAUCAACUUGUGCUCCUCCCACUUGUUUACCUGCUUGACAAGCUGCACAAGGUCUAUCCUUUUCGAAUUGCACGUUAGUCAAACCUAUCACAUGUUCUCCCUUUAGAAGCUUGUGAAGGUUCUUCAUCCCCACAUGUGCUAAGCGGCGAUGCCACAGCCAGCCCAUGCUAGUCUUAGCUAUUAAGCAUGCAUCUAGACCGGCCUCUUCUUUUGCAAAAUCAACUAAAUAAAGUUUGCCGUCUAAUACACCCUUAAAAGCUAGUGAACCAUCACUUCUUCUAAAGACAGACACAUCUACAUUUGUAAAUAGACAGUUAUACCCCAUGUUGCAUAAUUGACUAACAGAUAGCAAAUUAUAACCAAGAGACUCUACUAAAAACACAUUAGAGAUAGAGUGCUCAUUAGAAAUUGCAAUUUUACCUAACCCUUUUACCUUGCCUUGAUUCCCAUCACCGAAUACAAUUGAAUCUUGGGAAUCCUUAUUUUUGACGUAGGAGGUGAACAUCUUCUUCUCCCCCGUCAUAUGGUUUGUGCAUCCGCUGUCGAUAAUCCAGCUUGAACCCCCGGAUGCAUAAACCUGCAAGGCAAAUUUAGGCUUGGGUUUUAGGUACCCAACUCAUGUUGGGUCCUACAAGGUUAGCACAAAUAUCUUUAGGGACCCAAAUGCAAGUUUUGUCUCCCUUGCAUCUUGCCCCUAACUUCCUAGCAACAAUUUUCUUAUCCUUUCUACAAAUAGCGAAGGAAGCAUUCAAGGCAUGAUAUAUUGUAGAAGGUUCAUUAACUCUCCUAGGAACAUUAACAACAUUUCUCCUAGGCAUAUUGUGAACAACAUUUCUCCUACUAACAUUUCUAUCAUGCAUAACAUGAGAACUAGAAGCAGUCAUAGCAUAAGAGUCAUAAGCAUGUGAAUCAAAAACAUCAUUACCUCUAAAAGCAUUUCUAGAGUAUCUCCUAUCAUAGUACAUGAAAGCAUGAUUCUUCUUAACACUAUUGGCCAUAGGAGCCUUCCCUUUCUCCUUGGUGGAGAUAGGAGUCUUAUGGCUUGUUGAGUUCUUGGCUUCCCUCUUGAAGCCAAGCCCAUCCUUAAUUGAGGGGUGUCUACCAAUAGUGUAGGCAUCCCUUGCAAAUUUUAGUUUUUCAAAUUCACUCUUGCUAGUCUUAAGUUGGGCAUUAAGACUAGCUAAUUCAUCAUUCAAUUUUGAAAUGGAAACUAAGUGUUCACUACAGGCAUUAAUAUCAACAUCCUUGCACCUCGUGCAAAUUUCAACAUGUUCAACACAAGAGUUGGAUUUAUGUGCUUCUACUAGUUUAGCAUUUAAGUCAUCAUUAAUGCUCUUUAAUUUAGAAAUAGAAUCAUGGCAUGUAGACAAUUCAUAAGCAAGCAUUUCAUUCCUCUUAAUUUCUAAUGCAAGGGAUUUUUGAGCCUCUACAAACUUAUCAUGUUCUUCAUACAACAAAUCCUCUUGCUUUUCUAAAAGUAUAUUCUUUUCAUUCAAGGCAUCAAUUAAUUCAUUAAUUUUAUCUAUCUUAGAUCUAUCUAAGCCCUUGAACAAACAUGAAUAAUCUACUUCAUUCUCAUCACUAGAUUCGUCCUCACUUGAAGAAGCAUAGGUAGAGUUGCGAGUACAUACCUUCUUCUCCCUUGCCAUAAGGCAUGUGUGACGCUCGUUUGGGAAGAGGGUUGAUUUGUUGAAGGCGGUGGCGGCGAGUCCUUCAUUGUCGGAGUCGGAAGAGGAGCAAUCCGAGUCCCACUCCUUGCCUAGAUGCGCCUCGCCCUUUGCCUUCUUGUAAUUCUUCUUCUUUUCCCUCUUAUUUCCCUGUUCCUGGUCACUAUCAUUAUCGGGGCAGUUAGCGAUAAAAUGACCAAUCUUACCGCACUUGAAGCAUGAGCGCUUCCCCUUUGUCUUGGUCUUGCUUGGCUGCCCCUUGUGACCCUUUAGAACCGUCUUGAAGCGUUUAAUGAUGAGAGCCAUCUCCUCAUCAUUAAGUCCGGCCGCCUCAAUUUGUGCCACCUUGCUAGGUAGCGCCUCCUUGCUUCUUGUUGCUUUGAGAGCAAAAGGUUGCGGCUCGUUGAUCGGUCCAUUCAAGGCGUCGUCCACGUACCUUGCUUCCUUGAUCAUCAUUCGCCCGCUGACGAAUUUUCCUAAGACUUCUUCGGGCGACAUUUUGGUGUACCUGGGAUUCUCACGAAUAUUAUUCACCAAAUGAGGAUCAAGAACGGUAAAGGACCUUAGCAUUAGUCGGACGACGUCGUGGUCCGUCCAUCGCGUGCUUCCGUAGCUCCUUAUUUUGUUGAUAAGGGUCUUGAGCCGGUUGUAUGUUUGAGUUGGCUCCUCGCCCCUUAUCAUCGCGAACCGUCCAAGCUCUCCCUCCACCAACUCCAUUUUGGUGAGCAAGGUAGCGUCAUUUCCCUCAUGAGAGAUCUUGAGGGUAUCCCAGAUUUGCUUGGCGUUAUCCAAGCCACUCACUUUGUUAUAUUCAUCCCUGCACAAUGAAGCUAGAAGAACAGUAGUAGCUUGUGCAUUCUUAUGGAUUUGCUCAUUAAUGAAUAUAGGACUAUCCGAACUAUUAAAGUGCAUUCCACUAUCUACAAUCUCCCAUAUACUAGGAUGGAGAGAGAAUAGGUGACUACGCAUUUUGUGGCUCCAAAAUCCGUAGUCUUCUCCAUCAAAGUGUGGGGGCUUGCCAAGUGGAAUGGAAAGCAAAUGUGAAUUUGAACUUUGCGGAAUGCGAGAGUAGUCAAAAGAAAAGUUAGAAUUAACUGGUUUCCUUUGCUCGUAGUCGUUGUCCUUUUGGGAAGAGGAAGAUUCGUCGCUGUCGUAGUAGACAAUCUCCUUGAUGCGCCUUGUCUUCUUCUUCUUCCCAUCUUUUCGUCUAUGGUCUGAGCCCGAGUCGUUGGACUUGUCAUCCUUUGGCUCGUUGACGAAGGACUCCUUCUCCUUGUCGUUGAUCACGAUUCCCUUCCCCUUAGGAUCCAUCUCUUUGGGCGGUUAGUCCCUUUCUUGAAGAGAACGGCUCUGAUACCAAUUGAGAGCACCUAGAGGGGGGGGGGGUGAAUAGGUGAUCCUGUAAAACUUCAAAACUUAAGCCACAAAAACUCGUUAAGUGUUAGCACAGUUAUGGCCAAGUGGCUAGAGAGGAGUCAAAACACAAUAACCACAAGAAAUCAAUCACAGAGAUGACACGAUGGUUAUCCCGUGGUUCGGCCAAGUACAAAACUUGCCUACUCCACGUUGUGGCGUCCCAACGGACGAGAGUUGCACUCAACUCCUCUCAAGUGAUCCAAUGAUCAACUUGAAUACCAUGGUGUUCUUCUUUUCUUUUCUCAAUCCCGUUUGCGAGGAAUCUCCACACUUUGGAGCCUCUCGCCCUUACAAAAGAUGUUCACAGAGAAUCACGGAGCAAGGGAGGGAUUAGCAACUCACACACGACACAAAGAUCACAGCGAAUACGCACACACAAGACCCAGACUUGAGCUCAAGAAACUAGCACACUAGAACGGAGCUCAAAUCACUAGAAUGUCGAACAAGUGCGCAAGAUUGAUGUGUGAGUGAUCAAGAGUGCUCAAGGAAUGCUUGGUUCUCUCCUCCAUGCGCCUAGGGGUCCCUUUUAUAGCCCCAAGGCAGCUAGGAGCCGUUGAGAACAAAUCUGGAAGGCCAUCCUUGCCUUCUGUCGUCGGGCGCACCGGACAGUCCGGUGCACACCGGACACUGUCCGGUGCCCGAUUUCUUUCCUUAACAGGCGCAGCCGACCGUUGCCGACUGUUGCAGAUCUGGCGCACCGGACAGUCCGAUGCACACCGGACAGUCCGGUGCCUCCUUCCGACCGUUGGCCAGACCACGUGUCGCGCGCAGAUUCCGCGGCCGACCGUUGGCUCACCGGACAGUCCGGUGCACACCGGACAGUCCGGUGAAUUAUAGCCGUACGCCGUCGGCAAAAUUCCCGAGAGCGGCCUCUUCGCCCGAGGCAGCCUGGCGCACCGGACACUGUCCGGUGCACCACCGGACAGUCCGGUGCCCCAGACCGAAGCAGCCUUUUGGCUGUACACAGCCAACUCUUCUUCUUCCUUCUUCUCUCUGUUUCUAACACUUAGAUAAGUAUGUUAGUACACAAAACCAAUGUACUAAGGCUUAGAAACAUACCUUUACUUGGGAUUUGCAACUUGUCCAUCCAUGGGCAUAGAUUCACAUUUAAGCACUUUGUGUUGGCACUCAAUCAGCAAAAUACUUAGAAAUGGCCCAAGGGCACAUUUCCCUUUCAAAUGGCUAGUUGACCAGAUUGCCCACUACAAUGUACCAACCACCUGCUGCUAGGCCACCAUCAUCGCCACGGUUAGGCGGUUGUGCCUUGUGGGCUAUUGUUGUCCCUUGCUCUUGGAUUUAUCUGUUAGGAAUAUUGUAACACCCUCGUUUUUUAAAAUAUCAUUUUUUUUCUUUGAAAAGCACCCAAAAAUCAAUGUUUCUUUUUUCUUUCCUUAAAGGAGAGAAAUAUUUUCGAAAUAAUAAAAACAAACAAGAUAAAACUUGAGGGUUGUUUGUUGAAUUGCAAUGUGUUUUAUUUGAAUUCAAAGGGGCAAAUCAAUUUCCAAGGAAAUAAAAAGAAAAACAUCUCUUCUCUCCCCAACUCGACAUCUGGCCCAGCCCAAGUCACCACGUGUUUCGCCCCACGUCGGAACCCUGGCUGUGGGGCCCACUCAUCAGUUUGCGCCCGCAUGACCGUUGCUGACCUCGCUGUUGCGUCAGGUCCACUAGUCAAAUCCACCCCUCCCCCGCAACUAUCACCUUGCUCGGCCAGGAUGAGGACCGUGACGAACUCGGUAACCGCCUCGUCUCCACCUCACCAUGAUCAUGACCGGGCCAGCCGCAUGAAACUCCUACCCCUUUGUACGUUUUCCCUUCCCUCACACUCCACUGCGCCUUGCUCCACCACUGCAACGUUAAGCACGUCGCACAUCGAGCUCACAAGCACACCCGAAGGACUGUCGUCACUACCCAGCGCUGAAAGGGAAAUGUGCCCUUGGGCCAUUUCUAAGGAUUUUGGUGAUUAAGUGUCCAACACAAAUGCCUUAAGUAUUAAUAAGUGCCAAAUGGUGGAUGAAGUGAAAAUCAACACAAAGGUAUGAUUCUAGACUUAGUACAUUGAUUUUUGUGUACUAACAUAUUUGUCUAAGUGCUAGAAUCAGAGAAAACACAAAAGGAAAAAAGACUUGGCUGGAGCAGCCAAGACUCUGCGCAGUCUGGGUGCACCAGACAGUGUCCGGUGCGCCAGGCUGAAGUCUGGUCAAUUGGCCGCUCUCGGGAAUUCGUCGGCGGCAUACGACUAAAAUUCACCGGACUGUCCGGUGGUGCACCGGACUGUCCGGUGAGCCAACGGUUUGAAUGGGGCACCGGACUGUCCGGUGCCCACCGGACAGUGUCCGGUGCGCCAACGACUCCAAAUCUUCAACGGUCGGCUGCGCCAUUUUUGGAAAGCAAUCUGCACCGGACACUGAACAGUGCCUGUCCGGUGGCUCACCGGACUGUCCGGUGCGCCACCCGACAGAAGGCAAGAAUUGCCUUCCCUGAAAUCCUCCAACGACUCCUAGCUGCCUUGGGGCUAUAAAAGGGACCCCUAGGCGCAUGGAGGAGAAAUAUACAAGCAUUCUUUGAUCAUCUCUAAGCACCAAGACUUCAUUCUAGAGCAUUUGAUUCUUUGUGAUAGCAAUUUGAGCUCCUCUUGAGUUGAGAACUCCGUGUGUGAACUUAGAGCUCAAGCUGUGACUAGUGUGCGUGUUUGUGCUGUUGAGACUUGUGUGUGUUGCUUUUCCCUCCCUUACAUUCGUGCUUGUAAUCAUCAUUUGUAAGGGCGAGAGGCUCCAAGUUGUGGAGAUUCCUCGCAAACGGGAUAUUGUGAAAGAAAGAAAAACACCGUGGUAUUCAAGUGGAUCUUUGGAUCACUUGAAAGGGGUUGAGUGCAACCCUCGUCCAUUGGGACGCCACAACGUGGAGUAGGCAAGUGUUGUACUUGGCCGAACCACGGGAUACACCAUCGUGUCUCUUGUGUUUGUUCUCACUGUGACUAUUGUGUUUCACAAGAGCUCGGUCCUUAGCCACUUGAUUUCAUUGUACUAACACUUAAUCAAGUUUUGUGGCUUUAAGUUUUAAGUUUUUACAGGAUCACCUAUUCACCCCCCCUCUAGGUGCUCUCAAUUGGUAUCAGAGUCGUUCUCUUCACGAAAGGGACUAAUCGCCCGAAGGGAUGGAUCCUAAGGGAAAGGGGAUGGUGAUCAACGACAAGGAAAAGGAGUCCUUCAUCAAUGAGCCAAAAGACGACAAGCCCACUGACUCGGGCUCAAGUCACAAGAAGAAGGAUGGGAAGAAGAAGAGGCGCAUCAAGAAGAUAGUCUACUACGACAGCGAUGAGUCCUCUUCUUCCCAAAGAGACGACAACGACGAGAAAAAGAAAACGGUCAACUCAAACUUUUCUUUUGAUUAUUCUCGUAUUCCGCAAAAUUCCAAUGCUCAUUUGCUUUCCAUUCCUCUUGGUAAACCUCCACACUUUGAUGGAGAGGACUACGGAUUUUGGAGUCACAAAAUGUGUAGCCACUUGUUCUCUCUUCAUCCAAGUAUAUGGGAGAUAGUAGAAAAUGGAAUGCAAUUUGACAGUACGGACAAUCCCAUGUUUAUCAAUGAACAAAUUCACAAAAAAGCACAAGCUACCACUGUUCUUUUAGCAUCCUUGUACAGGGAAGAGUAUCAUAAGGUGGGCAGCUUGGAUAAUGCCAAGCAAAUUUGGGACACCCUCAAGAUCUCACAUGAGGGGAACGACGCCACCAUGAUCACCAAGAUGGAGUUGGUGGAAGGCGAACUAGGAAGGUUCACAAUGAUCAGGGGGGAGGAGCCAACUCAAAUGUACAACAGGCUCAAGACCCUGGUCAACAAAAUCAGGAGCUAUGGAAGCACGAGAUGGACGGACCACAACGUCGUCCGGCUUAUGCUAAGGUCCUUCACUGUCCUUGAUCCUCAUCUUGUAAACUCUAUUCGUGAAAAUCCUAGGUACACCAAGAUGACGCCCGAGGAAAUACUCGGAAAGUUUGUAAGCGGGCGAAUGAUGAUCAAGGAGGCAAGAUAUGUUGAUGAGGCGUUAAAUGGCCCAAUGCCGAUCCACGAGCCUCAAACCAUUGCUCUCAAAGCAACAAGCAGCAGGGAGGGGCUACCUAACAAGGUGGCGCAAGUUGAGGCGGCCGAGCUAAAUGAAGAUGAAAUGGCCCUCAUCAUCAAGCGCUUCAAGACGGCGCUCAAAGGUCGCAAGGAGCAUCCCAACAAGAGCAAGACGAAGGGAAAGCGCUCCUGCUUCAAGUGUGGUAAGAUUGGUCACUUUAUUGCUAAUUGUCCCGAUAAUGAUAGUGACCAGGAACAAGGAAAGAAUGGGAAGAGAGAGAACAAGAAGGUUUACAAGAAGGCUAAGGGCGAAGCACACCUUGGAAAAGAAUGGGACUCGGAUUGUUCUUCGUCCGACUCCGACGACGAAGGACUCACCGCCAUGGCCUUCAACAAAUCGUCUCUCUUCCCCAACGAGCAUCACACCUGCCUCAUGGCAAAGGAGAAGAAGGUAAGCACUCGAAAUACUAUUGCAUAUGCUUCUUCAAGUGAUGAUGAAUCUAGUGAUGAUGAAGUAGACUAUGCAAGUUUAUUCAAAGGCUUAGAUAGAACUAAAAUUGAUAAGAUCAAUGAAUUAAUUGAUGUGUUGAAUGAGAAGAAUAGAUUGCUAGAAAAGCAAGAGGAUCUUUUAUAUGAAGAGCAUGAUAAAUUUGUAAGUGUACAAAGGUCUCUUGCUUUAGAAGUUAAAAGAAAUGAAAUACUUUCAUGUGAAUUAUCUACUUGUCAUGAGUCUAUUUCUAGUCUAAAGAGUGUCAAUGGUGACUUAAAUCCUAAGUUAGAAGUAGCAAAUAAAUCUAGCUCAUGCAUUGAACAUAUAAUAAUUUGUAAUAGGUGUAAGGAUUUUAAUGUUGAUGCAUGUGUCGAGCACCUUACUUCUAUUGCAAAAUUAAAUGGUGAAGUGGCUAGUCUUAAUGCCCAACUUAAGACUAGCAAAAAUGACUUUGAUAAACUAAAAUUUGCAAGGGAUGCCUAGACUAUUGGUAGACACCCCUCUAUUAAGGAUGGACUUGGCUUUCGAAGGGAAGCCAAGAACUUAACAAGUCAUAAGGCUCCCAUCUCCACCAAGGAGAAAGGGAAGGCCCCUAUGUCUAAUAGUGGUCAAAAGAAUCAUGCUUUCAUUUAUAGUGAUAGAAAAUUCUCUAGAAAUGCUUAUAGGAACUAUGUUUAUGAUUCACAUGCUAUGUCUGCUUCUAGUUCCUCUGCUGUGCAUGGUAGAAAUAUGCCUAGGAAAAAUGUUGUUCAUAUGCAUAGGAAAGUAAGUAAUGAACUGUCUACAAUUUACCAUGCUUGUAAUGCUUCCUUUGCAAUUUGUAGUAAGAAUAAGAAAGUGAUUGCCAAGAAGUUGGGGGCCAAGUGCAAGGGAGACAAGACUUGCAUUUGGGUCCCAAAGACAAUUAUAACUAACCUUGUAGGACCCAACAAGAGUUGGGUACCUAAAACCCAAGCCUAAUUUACCUUGCAGAUUUAUGCAUCCGGGGGCUCAAGCUGGAUUAUCGACAGCGGAUGCACAAACCACAUGACGGGGGAGAAGAAUAUGUUCUCCUCCUACGUCAAGAACAAAGAUCCCCAAGAUUCAAUCAUAUUCGGUGAUGGGAAUCAAGGCAAGGUUAAAGGACUAGGAAAGAUAGAUAUUUCAUCCGAGCAUUCCAUAUCUAAUGUGUUUUUAGUUGAGUCGCUUGGGUAUAACUUGUUGUCCGUUAGUCAAUUGUGUAAUAUGGGUUACAAUUGCUUAUUUACAAAUGUAGAUGUGUCUGUCUUUAGAAGGAGUGAUGGUUCAUUAGCUUUUAAGGGUGUACUAGACGACAAACUCUAUUAGUUGAUUUUUCGAAGGAGGAGGCCGAUCUAGAUGCAUGCUUAAUCGCUAAGACUAGCAUGGGCUGGUUGUGGCAUCGCCGUCUAGCACAUGUGGGGAUGAAGAACCUUCACAAACUUCUAAAGGGAGAACAUAUGUUAGGUCUAACAAAUGUAACUUUCGAAAAAGAUAGACCUUGUGCAGCUUGUCAAGCAGGUAAACAAGUGGGAAGUGCUCAUCACAACAAGAAUGUGAUGACCACAUCAAGACCUCUGGAGCUACUUCAUAUGGAUCUCUUCGGACCCGUCGCCUACCUCAGCAUCGAGGGAAGUAAGUAUGGUCUUGUUAUAGUUGAUGAUUUUCCCGCUUCACUUGGGUAUUCUUUUUGCAGGAUAAAACAGAAACCCAAGGGACCCUUAAGCGCUUCCUAAGGAGAGCUCAAAAUGAAUUUGAGCUCAAGGUGAAAAAGAUAAGAAGCGACAACGGGUCCGAAUUCAAGAACCUUCAAGUGGAGGAGUACCUUGAGGAGGAAGUGAAAGGGAAUUAGGCUUACACCUAGUUCCUAAUUAAUUUUGGUGGUUGAAUUACCCAAUACAAAUUAUUGGACUAACUAGUUUGCUCUAGAUUAUAUGUUCUACAGGUGCCAAAGGUUCAUCUACAACUAUACUAAAUCGACUGUCCGGAAUACCGUAGAUUAUUCCGGACAGGAGAAGCUUUUUGGAAAAACAGACCAAGCGCGGACCGUCCGGGCCCUUGCGGCGGAUCGUCCGCAACACCAGGAUGACCCUCGGACAGAACCAAUACAAAAAUACGAGUCUGCACUAUGGACCGUCCGGAGGAAAAGCGCGGACCGUCUGAAACCUCGCGCGGACCGUCCGGCCUCAAGCGCGGACCGUCCGGUAGGCAAGGAAUCGAAAAACCCGAAGGUGACGGGUUCGGAAAAAUGAAUUAUAGCGGCCUCGCGGACCGUCCGGGGUGCACGACCGGACCGUCCGCGACUGGCUUUUUCUGACAUCUGACGACGCAUUAAAUGCAAUAUAGCCGUUGAUAUAGCCGUUACUGCUGACCGUUGCGUUUUCAGCCGUUGAUCUACAGGGGCGGACCGUCCGGACCAGGCGGGCGGACCGUCCGCGCUCAGCAGAAUGGAGCAACGGCUAGGAAGUGGUUGGUGGCUAUAAAUACAACCCCAACCACCUCCAUUCACUUCACUCAAGCAUUCCAACCUUCAACAUUCAAUACAAGAGCUAGCAAUCCAUUCCAAGACACAUUCAAAGCCUCCAUCUCUCCAAGUUUCACAAUUGAGAAAAGAGAUCAUUAGUGAUUGGUGACUUGAGAGAGAAAGUGAUCCUUGUGUUAUUUGUCGCUCUUGUCGCUUGGCUUUUGCAAUCGUGCUUUCUUUGAUUCUUCAUUGCGAUCAAACUCACUUGUAAUUAAGGCAAGAGACACCAAUCUUGUGGUGGUCCUUGUGGGAACUUUGUGUUCCAAGUGAUUGAGAAGAAAAGCUCACUCGGUCCGAGGGACCGUUUUGAGAGAGGGAAAGGGUUGAAAGAGACCCGGCCUUUGUGGCCUCCUCAACGGGGAGUAGGUUUGCGAGAACCGAACCUCGGUAAAACAAAUCCGUGUGUCACACUUCUUAUUUGCUUGCGAUCUGUUUUCCACCCUCUCUCAUGGACUCGAUUAUAUUUCUAACGCUAACCCGGCUUGUAGUUGUGAUUAACUUUGUAAAUUUUUAGUUUCACCCUAUUCACCCCCCCUCUAGGCGACUUUCAAUUGGUAUCAGAACACGGUACUUCAUUAGAGCCUAACCGCUCGAAGUAAUGUCGGGAGAUCACGCCAAGAAGGAGAUGGAGACCGGCGAAAAGCCCACUACAAGCCACGGGAAGACUUCAUCGGAAGAGUCCCGCAACAAGAGGAAGGAGAAGAAAGACUCCUCCAAAGGGAAGGAGAAGAAAUCUUCUUCACACAAAGAGAAGAAGGAGAAAUCCUCUUCCCACAAGCCGCAUCGGAGUGGGGACAAGAAAAAGAGGAUGAGGAAAGUGGUCUACUACGAGACCGAUUCUUCAUCAACAUCUACCUCCGGCUCCGACGCGGCGUCCGUCACUUCUAAGCGCCAAGAGCGCAAGAAGUAUAGUAAGAUUCCCCUACGCUACCCUCGCAUUUCUAAACAUACACCUUUGCUUUCCAUCCCAUUAGGCAAACCACCAACAUUUGAUGGUGAAGAUUACGCUAGGUGGAGUGAUUUAAUGCUAUUUCAUCUAACCUCACUCCACAAAAGUAUAUGGGAUGUUGUUGAGUUUGGUGCACAGGUACCAUCCGUAGGGGAUGAAGACUAUGAUGAGGAUGAGGUGGCCCAAAUCGAGCACUUCAACUCCCAAGCCACAACCAUACUCCUUGCCUCUCUAAGUAGAGAGGAAUAUAACAAGGUGCAAGGGUUGAAGAGUGCGAAAGAGAUUUGGGACUUACUCAAGACCGCGCACGAGGGUGAUGAACUCACCAAGAUCACCAAGCGGGAAACGAUCGAGGGGGAGCUCGGCCGCUUCCGUCUUCGCCAAGGGGAGGAGCCACAAGACAUGUACAACCGGCUCAAAACCUUGGUAAACCAAGUGCGCAACCUCGGGAGCAAAAAGUGGGAUGACCACGAGGUGGUUAAGGUUAUUCUAAGAUCUCUUAUUUUCCUUAACCCUACUCAAGUUCAAUUAAUUCGUGGCAACCCAAGAUAUACACUAAUGACCCCCGAGGAAGUAAUCGGGAAUUUUGUGAGCUUUGAGUAUAUGAUCAAGGGCUCGAAGAAGAUUAACGAGCUAGAUGAUCCCUCCACAUCCGCGGCACAACUGGUCGCAUUUAAGGCGACGGAGGAGAAGAAGGAGGAGUCUACAUCGAGUAGACAACCUGAUAGUCGCCUAGAGGGGGGGUGAAUAGGGCGAAACUGAAAUUUACAAAUAUAAACACAACUACAAGCCGGGUUAGCGUUAGAAAUAAAAACGAGUCCGCGAGAGAGGGUGGAAAACAAAUCGCAAGCAAAUGAAGAGUGUGACACGCGGAUUUGUUUUACCGAGGUUCGGUUCUUGCAAACCUACUCCCCGUUGAGGAGGCCACAAAGGCCGGGUCUCUUUCAACCCUUCCCUCUCUCAAACGGUCCCUCGGACCGAGUGAGCUUCUCUUCUCAAAUCACUUGGGAAUCAAACUUCCUGCAAGGACCACCACACACUUGGUGUCUCUUGCCUCAAUUACAAGUGAGUGUUUGAUCACAAGAAAGAAUGCCAAAGAAAAGAAGCGAUCCAAGCGCAAGAGCUCAAAUGAACACUACAAAUCACUCUCUCUAGUCACUAAGGCUUUGUGUGGAGUUGGGAGAGGAUUUGAUCUCUUUUGGUGUGCCUUGCAAUGAAUGCUAGCUCUUGUAUAGUGGUUGGAAGCUGGAAAACUUGGAUGCAAUGAAUGGUGGGGUGGUUGGGGUAUUUAUAGCCCCAACCACCAAACAUGACCGUUGGUGGAGGCUGUCUGUCGUAUGGUGCACCGGACAGUCCGGUGCACACCGGACAUGUCCGGUGCGCCAGCCACGUCACCAAUGCCGUUGGAAUUUGACCGUUGGAGUUCUGACUUCUGGGCCCGCCUGGAUGUCCGGUGCACACCAGACAUGUACUGUUCAAUGUCCGGUGCGCCAGAAUGGGCGUGCCUGACUUCUGCGCGCUUCUGGCGCGCAUUGAAUGCGCCUGCAGGUAGCCGUUGCUCCGGAGUUGCACCGGACAGUCCGGUGUACACCAGACAUGUCCGGUGAAUUAUAGCGGAACAACCGUUCUGAAUUCCCGAGUCUGCCGAGUUCCAGAGCCGCGUUCCUUUGGAGCACCGGACACUGUCCGGUGUACACCGGACAGUCCGGUGAAUUAUAGCGCGCCGGCUUCUGGAAAUUCCCGAGGCUGAGGAGUUCUGCGCGAGGUCCCCUGGUGCACCAGACACUGUCCGGUGCGCCACCGGACAGUCCGGUGCGCCAGACCAGGGAGCCUUUCGGGAUGCCUUUGGCUCUUUAAUUUGAACCCAACUUUGGUCUUUUUAAUUGGCUUGUUGUGAACCUUUGACACCUGUAUAACUUAUACACUAGAGCAAACUAGUUAGUCCAAUUAUUUGUGUUGGGCAAUUCAACCACCAAAAUUAAUUAGGGACUAGGUGUAAGCCUAAUUCCCUUUCAAUCUCCCCCUUUUUGGUGAUUGAUGCCAACACAAACCAAAGCAAAUAUAGAAGUGCAUAAUUGAACUAGUUUGCAUAAUGUAAGUGCAAAGGUUGCUUGGAAUUGAGCCAAUGUAAAUACUUACAAGAUAUGCAUGGAUCGUUUCUUUGUUUUUAACAUUUUGGACCACACUUGCACCACAUGUUUUGUUUUUGCAAAAUCUUUUGUAAAUCCUUUUCAAAGUUCUUUUGCAAAUAGUCAAAGGUAAUGAAUAAGAUUUUGCAAAGCAUUUUCAAGAUUUGAAAUAUUCUCCCCCUGUUUCAAAUGCUUUUCCUUGACUAAACAAAACUCCCCCUUAAUUGGGAUCCGCCUCUUAGUGUUCAAGAGGGUUUUGAUAUAUCCUUUUUGAAAUACUACUUUCUCCCCCUUUUGAACACAAUAAGAUGCCAAUUGAAAAUACUCUUUGAAAAACUAAGUUUUUGAAAUUGGUGGUGGUGCGGUCCUUUUGCUUUGGGCUCAUACUUUCUCCCCCUUUAGCAUGAAUCACCAAAAACAGAAUCAUUAGAGCCCUUUGAAGUACUUUCUUCCCCUUUGGUCAUAAAUAAAUGAGUUAAGAUUAUACCAAAGAUGAAGUCCUUUUGUUUGUUGCUCAUGCUUUCUCCCUCUAGAAUAGAGAGUUGCUCGGAGUGAUGGCGAAGGGUGAGUUACGGAGUGGAAGCCUUUGUCUUCGCCGAAGACUCCAAUUCCCUUUUAAUACGCCUAUGACUUGGUUUGAAAUAGACUUGAAAACACAUUAGCCAUAGCAUAUGAAAGAGAGAUGAUCAAAGGUAUAAAUGAGCUAUGUGUGCAAUUUUAACAAAAGAAGUUCCUAGAAUCAAGAAUAUUUAGCUCAUGCCUGAGUUUGUUAAAAGUUUGUUCAUCAAGAGGCUUGGUAAAGAUAUCGGCUAAUUGAUCUUUAGUGUUAAUAUAUGAAAUCUCGAUAUCUCCCUUUUGUUGGUGAUCCCUAAGAAAAUGAUACCGAAUGGCUAUGUGUUUAGUGCGGCUAUGUUCGACGGGAUUAUCCGCCAUCUUGAUUGCACUCUCAUUAUCACAUAGCAAAGGGACUUUGGUUAAUUUGUAAUCGUAGUCCCGCAGGGUUUGCUUCAUCCAAAUCAAUUGCGUGCAACAAUGGCCUGCGACAAUGUACUCGGCUUCGGCGGUGGAAAGAGCGACCGAAUUUUGCUUCUUUGAAGCCCAAGACACCAAGGAUCUUCCCAAGAACUGGCAAGUCCCCGAUGUGCUCUUCCUAUUGAUUUUGCACCCCGCCCAAUCGGCAUCCGAAUAACCAAUCAAAUCAAAUGUGGAUCCCCUAGGAUACCAAAGCCCAAACUUAGGAGUAUAAGCCAAAUAUCUCAAGAUUCGUUUUACGGCCGUAAGGUGAGCUUCCUUAGGGUCGGCUUGGAAUCUUGCACACAUGCAUACGGAAAGCAUAAUAUCCGGUCGAGAUGCACAUAAAUAGAGUAAAGAACCUAUCAUCGACCGGUAUACCUUUUGAUCCACGGACUUACCUCCCGUGUCGAGGUCGAGAUGCCCAUUAGUUCCCAUGGGAGUCUUGAUGGGCUUGGCAUCCUUCAUCCCAAACUUGUUUAGAAUGUCUUGAGUAUACUUCGUUUGGCUAAUGAAGGUGCCUUCUUGGAGUUGCUUCACUUGAAAUCCCAAGAAGUACUUCAACUCCCCCAUCAUAGACAUCUCGAACUUUUGUGUCAUGAUCCUACUAAACUCUUCGCAUGUAGAUUCGUUAGUAGACCCAAAUAUAAUAUCAUCAACAUAAAUUUGGCAUACAAACAAAUCAUUCUCAAGUGUUUUGGUAAAGAGCGUAGGAUCGGCCUUUCCGACUUUGAAGCCAUUAGCUAUAAGGAAAUCUCUAAGGCAUUCAUACCAUGCUCUUGGGGCUUGCUUGAGCCCAUAAAGCGCCUUAGAGAGUUUAUAAACAUGGUUAGGGUACUCACUAUCUUCAAAGCCGGGAGGUUGUUUAACAUAGACCUCUUCCUUGAUUGGUCCAUUGAGGAAGGCACUUUUCACGUCCAUUUGAUAAAGCUUAAAGCCAUGGUAAGUAGCAUAGGCCAAUAAUAUUCGAAUUGACUCAAGCCUAGCUACGGGUGCAUAGGUUUCACCGAAAUCCAAACCUUCGACUUGGGAGUAUCCUUUGGCCACAAGUCGAGCUUUGUUCCUUGUCACCACACCAUGCUCAUCUUGCUUGUUGCGGAAGACCCAUUUGGUUCCUACAACAUUUUGAUUAGGACGUGGAACUAAAUGCCAUACCUCAUUCCUAGUGAAGUUGUUGAGCUCCUCUUGCAUUGCCACCACCCAAUCCGAAUCUUGUAGUGCUUCCUCUACCCUGUGUGGCUCAAUAGAGGAAACAAAAGAGUAAUGCUCACAAAAAUGUGCAAUUCGAGAUCUAGUGGUUACCCCCUUAUGAAUGUCGCAGAGGAUGGUGUCGACGGGGUGAUCUCGUUGAAUUGCUUGGUGGACUCUUGGGUGUGGCGGUCUUUGUUCUUCAUCCUCCUUGUCUUGAUCAUUUGCAUCUCCCCCUUGAUCAUUGUCGUCAUCUUGAGGUGGCUCAUUUGCUUGAUCUUCUGUUUCGUCAACUUGAGCUUCUUCCUCAUUUUGAGUCGGUGGAGAUGCUUGCGUGGAGGAGGAUGGUUGAUCUUGUGCACUUGGAGGCUCUUCGGAUUCCUUAGGACACACAUCCCCAAUGGACAUGUUCCUUAGCGCGAUGCAUGGAGCCUCUUCAUUACCUAUCUCAUCAAGAUCAACUUGCUCUACUUGAGAGCCAUUAGUCUCAUCAAACACAACGUCACAAGAAACUUCAACUUGUCCAGUGGACUUGUUAAAGACUCUAUAUGCCCUUGUGUUUGAAUCAUAUCCUAGUAAAAAGCCUUCUACUGUCUUAGGAGCAAAUUUAGAUUUUCUACCUCUUUUAACAAGAAUAAAGCAUUUGCUACCAAAGACUCUAAAAUAUGAAAUGUUGGGGUUUUUACCGGUUAGGAGUUCGUAUGAUGUCUUCUUGAGGAUUCGGUGUAGAUACAACCGGUUGAUGGCGUAGCAAGCGGUGUUGACCGCCUCGGCCCAAAACCGAUCCGAAGUCUUGUACUCAUCAAGCAUGGUCCUUGCCAUGUCCAAUAGAGUUCGAUUCUUCCUCUCCACUACACCAUUUUGUUGUGGUGUGUAGGGAGAAGAGAACUCAUGCUUGAUGCCCUCCUCCUCAAGGAAGCCUUCGAUUUGAGAGUUCUUGAACUCCGUUCCGUUGUCGCUUCUAAUUUUCUUGAUCCUUAAGCCGAACUCGUUUUGAGCUCGUCUCAAGAUUCCCUUUAAGGUCUCUUGGGUUUGAGAUUUUUCCUGUAAAAAGAAUACCCAAGUGAAGCGAGAAUAAUCAUCCACUAUUACAAGACAAUACUUACUCCCGCCGAUGCUUAUGUAAGCAAUCGGGCCGAAUAGAUCCAUGUGGAGUAGCUCAAGCGGCCUGUUGGUCGUCAUGAUGUUCUUGUUUAGAUGAUGGGCACCAACUUGCUUUCCUGCUUGGCAUGCGCUACAAACCCUGUCUUUCUCAAAAUGAACAUUUGUUAGUCCUAAAAUGUGUUCUCCCUUUAGAAGCUUACGAAGAUUCUUCAUCCCAACAUGGGCUAGUCGGCGGUGCCAGAGCCAACCCAUGUUAGUCUUAGCAAUUAAGCAUGUGUCGAGUUCAGCUCUAUCAAAAUCUACUAAGUAUAGCUGACCCUCUAACACACCCUUAAAUGCUAUUGAAUCAUCACUUCUUCUAAAGACAGUGACACCUACAUCAGUAAAGAGACAGUUGUAGCCCAUUUUGCAUAAUUGAGAUACAGAAAGCAAAUUGUAAUCUAAAGAAUCUACAAGAAAAACAUUGGAAAUAGAAUGGUCAGGGGAUAUAGCAAUUUUACCCAAUCCUUUGACCAAACCUUGGUUUCCAUCCCCGAAUGUGAUCGCUCGUUGGGGAUCUUGGUUUUUCUCGUAGGAGGAGAACAUCUUCUUCUCCCCUGUCAUGUGGUUUGUGCACCCGCUGUCGAUGAUCCAACUUGAGCCCCCGGAUGCAUAAACCUACAAAACAAGUUUAGUUCUUGACUUUAGGUACCCAAAUGGUUUUGGGUCCUUUGGCAUUAGAUACAAGAACUUUGGGUACCCAAACACAAGUCUUUGACCCCUUGUGCUUGCCCCCAACAUAUUUGGCAACUACUUUGCCGGAUUUGUUAGUCAACACAUAAGAUGCAUCAAAAGUUUUAAAUGAAAGACUAUGUUCAUUUGAUGCACUAGGAGUUUUCUUCAUAGGCAACUUAGCAUGGGUUGGUUGCCUAGAACUAGAUGUCUCACCCUUAUAUAUAAAAGCAUGAUUUGGGCUAGAGUGAGACUUCCUAGAGUGAAUUCUCCUAAUCUUGCUCUCAGGAUAACCGGCAGGGUACAAAAUGUAACCCUCGUUAUCUUGAGGCAUGGGAGCCUUGCCCUUUACAAAAUUAGACAAUUUUUUAGGAGGGGCAUUAAGUUUGACAUUGUCUCCCCUUUGGAAGCCAAUGCCAUCCUUGAUGCCAGGGCGUCUCCCACUAUAGAGCAUACUUCUAGCAAAUUUAAAUUUCUCAUUUUCUAAGUUAUGCUCUGCAAUUUUAGCAUCUAAUUUUGCUAUAUGAUCAUUUUGUUGUUUAAUUAAAGACAUGUGAUCAUGAAUAGCAUUAAUAUCAACAUCUCUACAUCUAGUACAAAUAGAUACAUGCUCAACAAAAGAUGUAGAGGGUUUGCAAGAUUUUAAUUCUACAACCUUAGCUUGUAACAUGUCGUUCUUAGUUCUAAGGUCGGAAAUAGUAGCAUUGCAAACAUCAAAAUCUUUAGCCUUAGCAAGCAAUUUUUCAUUUUCAAUCUUAAGGCUAGCAAGAGAAAUGUUCAAUUCUUCAAUUCUAGCAAGUAAAUCAUCAUCAUUAUUUCUAGAAUUGGUAAUUGAAACAUUACAAACAUGAGAAUCAACCUUAGCUAACAAAUUAGCAUUUUCAUUUCUAAGGUUGUCUAUUGUCUCAUGGCAAGUGCUUAGCUCACUAGAUAAUUUUUCACAUUUCUCAAUUUCUAGAGCAUAAGCAUUUUUAACCUUAACAUGUUUCUUAUUUUCCUUAAUUAGAAAGUCCUCUUGGGAAUCCAAAAGGUCAUCCUUUUCAUGAAUAGCACUAAUUAAUUCAUUUAAUUUUUCUUUUUGUUCCAUGUUAAGGUUGGCAAAAAGGGUACGCAAAUUAUCUUCCUCAUCACUAGCAUUAUCAUCACUAGAGGACUCAUAUCUAGUGGAGGAUUUAGAUUUAACCUUCUUCUUUUUGCCGUCUUUUGCCAUGAGGCACUUGUGGCCGACGUUGGGGAAGAGAAGUCCCUUGGUGACGGCGAUGUUGGCGGCGUCCUCGUCGGAGGAGGAGUCGCUAGAGCUUUCGUCGGAGUCCCACUCCCGACAAACAUGGGCAUCGCCGCCCUUCUUCUUGUAGUACCUCUUCUUCUCCUUUCUUCUCCCCUUUUUGUCGUCGCCCCUGUCACUAUCACUUGAUAAUGGGCAUUUAGCUAUAAAGUGACCGGGCUUACCACACUUGUAGCAAACCUUCUUGGAGCGGGACUUGUAGUCUUUCCCUCUCCUUUGCUUGAGGAUUUGGCGGAAGCUCUUGAUGACGAGCGCCAUUUCCUCAUUGUCGAGCUUGGAGGCGUCGAUUGGUUGUCUACUUGGUGUAGACUCCUCCUUCUUUUCCUCCGUCGCCUUGAAUGCGACGGGUUGAGCUUCGGAUGUGGAGGGAUCAUCAAGCUCGUUGAUCUUCCUCGAGCCUUCGAUCAUGCACUCAAAACUUACAAAAUUCCCGAUUACUUCCUCGGGGGUCAUUAGUGUAUAUCUUGGGUUGCCACGGAUUAAUUGAACUUGAGUAGGGUUAAGGAAAAUAAGAGAUCUUAGAAUAACCUUAACCACCUCGUGGUCAUCCCACUUUUUGCUCCCGAGGUUGCGCACUUGAUUCACCAAGGUCUUGAGCCGGUUGUACAUGUUUUGUGGCUCCUCCCCUUUGCGAAGCCGGAACCGACCGAGCUCCCCCUCGAUCGUCUCCCGCUUGGUGAUCUUUGUGAGCUCAUCUCCUUCGUGUGCGGUUUUGAGCACAUCCCAAACCUCCUUGGCGCUCUUCAACCCUUGCACUUUGUUAUACUCCUCUCUACUUAGAGAAGCGAGGAGUAUUGUUGUUGCUUGAGAGUUGAAGUGCUCGAUUUGGGCAACCUCGUCCUCAUCAUAAUCUUCAUCCCCUACGGAUGGUACCUGUGCACCAAACUCAACAACAUCCCAUAUACUUUUGUGGAGUGAGGUUAGAUGAAAUCGCAUUAAAUCACUCCACCUAGCGUAAUCUUCACCAUCAAGAGUUGGUGGUUUGCCUAAUGGGACGGAAAGUAAAGGUGUAUGUUUAGAUAUGCGAGGGUAGCGUAGGGGAAUCUUACUAUACUUCUUACGCUCUUGGCGCUUAGAAGUGACGGACGCCGCGUCGGAGCCGGAGAUGGAUGCCGAUGAAGAAUCGGUCUCGUAGUAGACCACUUUCCUCAUCUUCUUUUUCUUGUCUCCACUCCAAUGCGGCUUGUGAGAAGAGGAUUUCUCCUUCUUCUCUUUGUGUGAAGAAGAUUUCUUCUCCUUCCCUUUGGACGAGUCCUUCUUUUUCUCCUUCCCUUUGGAGGAGUCUUUCUUCUUCUCCCUCUUGGUGCGGGACUCUUCCGAUGAAGUGCUCCCGUGGCUUGUAGUGGGCUUUUCGCCGGUCUCCAUCUCCUUCUUGGCGUGAUCUCCCGACAUUACUUCGAGCGGUUUGGCUCUAAUGAAGCACCGGGCUUUGAUACCAAUUGAUAGUCGCCUAGAGGGGGGUGAAUAGGGCGAAACUGAAAUUUACAAAUAUAAACACAACUACAAGCCGGGUUAGCGUUAGAAAUAAAAACGAGUUCGCGAGAGAGGGUGGAAAACAAAUCGCAAGCAAAUGAAGAGUGUGACACGCGGAUUUGUUUUACCGAGGUUCGGUUCUUGCAAACCUACUCCCCGUUGAGGAGGCCACAAAGGUGAGAGCACCUAGAGGGGGGGGGGGGUGAAUAGGUGAUCCUGUAAAACUUCAAAACUUAAGCCACAAAAACUUGUUAAGUGUUAGCACAAUUAUGGCCAAGUGGCUAGAGAGGAGUCAAAACACAAUAACCACAAGAAAUCAAUCACAGAGAUGACACGGUGGUUAUCCCGUGGUUCGGCCAAGUACAAAACUUGCCUACUCCACGUUGUGGCGUCCCAACGGACGAGAGUUGCACUCAACUCCUCUCAAGUGAUCCAAUGAUCAACUUGAAUACCACGGUGUUCUUCUUUUCUUUUCUCAAUCCCGUUUGCGAGGAAUCUCCACACUUUGGAGCCUCUCGCCCUUACAAAAGAUGUUCACAGAGAAUCACAGAGCAAGGGAGGGAUUAGCAACUCACACACGACACAAAGAUCACAGCGAAUACGCACACACAAGACCCAGACUUGAGCUCAAGAGACUAGCACACUAGAACGGAGCUCAAAUCACUAGAAUGUCGAACAAGUGCGCAAAAUUGAUGUGUGAGUGAUCAAGAGUGCUCAAGGAAUGCUUGGUUCUCUCCUCCAUGCGCCUAGGGGUCCCUUUUAUAGCCCCAAGGCAGCUAGGAGCCGUUGAGAACAAAUCUGGAAGGCCAUCCUUGCCUUCUGUAGUCGGGCGCACCGGACAGUCCGGUGCACACCGGAUACUGUCCGGUGCCCGAUUUCUUUCCUUAACAGUCGCAGCCGACCGUUGCCAACCGUUGCAGAUCUGGCGCACCGGACAGUCCGGUGCCUCCUUCCGACCGUUGGCCAGACCACGUGUCGCGCGCAGAUUCCGCGGCCGACCGUUGGCUCGGCCGACCGUUGGCUCACCGGACAGUCCGGUGCACACCGGACAGUCCGGUGAAUUAUAGCCGUACGCCGUCGGCAAAAUUCCCGAGAGCGGCCUCUUCGCCCGAGGCAGCCUGGCGCACCGGACACUGUCCGGUGCACCACCGGACAGUCCGGUGCCCCAGACCGAAACAGCCUGUUGGCUGUACACAGCCAACAUUCUCCUUUUCUUCUUCUCUCUGUUUCUAACACUUAGACAAAUAUAUUAGUACACAAACCAAUGUACUAAGGCUUAGAAACAUACCUUUACUUGUGAUUUGCACUUUGUUCAUCCAUGGGCAUAGAUUCACAUUAAAGCACUUGUGUUGACACUUAAUCACCAAAAUACUUAGAAAUGGCCCAAGGGCACAUUUCCCUUUCAAUCUCCCCCUUUUUGGUGAUUUAUGCCAACACAACAUAAAGCAACUAGAACAAGUGCGAAAUCACUUCAAAUAGAAUAAAUUUGAGUUCUAUUCAAUUUUGGCAUAUAUGGAUCAUCCUUUGCCACCACUUGGUUUGUUUUUGCAAAUCAAACUCAAAUCUCUAUCUCUAAGUCAAACACACAUGUUGAAGCACAAAGAGAGUCAUUCCAAAAGAGAUUGAUCAAAGAUUUCAAAAACUCCCCCUUUUUCCCAUAAUUACUACUUCUCCCCACAAGAAGCCAACUUUUGACGAAAGAGAUAAUGAAAGAGUUUUGACAAAUCAAAAGCUCUACUCUACUAUUUUCAAAUCUCUCAAGUGGUAGCUGAUCCAUUUAUUGCUUUGGCCUUUAUUUUCUCCCCCUUUGGCAUCAAGCACCAAAACGGGAUCAAUCUUGGCCCUUUAACCCCAUUGCCUCACCAAAAUCUUCAAUUAAGAUCAAUUGGCAAUAAGAGUUCAUGAGAUGGACUUGGAAUAAGUUACCCUCUCAUCGGAGUGCAGUGGAAGUCUUUCAUGGUCCAAGUCCACCUUUUCCCUUUCAAUUUUCCUUCGAGACUAAAUCAAGCAAUCUCAAGCAUAUGGUUAGUCUCAAAGGGUCAAGUUGUAACACAUCUCCCCCUAAACAUGUGCAUCACUUUGCAACGGACUUGUGAGGUCCAGGGAGUGUUUGUACAACUUGAGCACCAUAAUAAGCAACAAAAUGCAGAAUGAACAUGAUCAAAGGCAUAAACACAUGUAUGCUACAAUUCAAUCCAAGUUCCGCGAAUCUAAUACAUUUAGCUCACUACGCAGCCUGCAAAAGGUCUUCUCAUCUAGAGGCUUGGUAAAGAUAUCGGCUAGCUGGUUCUCGGUGCUAACAUGAAACACUUCGAUAUCCCCCUUUUGCUGGUGGUCUCUCAAAAAGUGAUGCCGGAUGUCUAUGUGCUUUGUGCGGCUGUGCUCAACAGGAUUUUCCGCCAUGCGGAUAGCACUCUCAUUGUCACAUAGGAGUGGGACUUUGCUCAGAUUGUAGCCAAAGUCCCGGAGGGUUUGACUCAUCCAAAGUAGUUGCGCGCAACACUGUCCUGCGGCAACGUACUCGGCCUCAGCGGUGGAUAGGGCAACGGAAGUUUGUUUCUUAGAGUUCCACGACACCAGGGACCUUCCUAAGAAUUGGCACGUCCCCGAUGUGCUCUUCCUAUCGACCUUACAUCCAGCAUAGUCGGAGUCUGAGUAUCCAACCAAGUCAAAGGUAGACCCCUUUGGAUACCAGAGCCCGAAGCAAGGCGUAGCAACUAAAUAUCUCAGAAUUCGCUUCACCGCCACUAAGUGACACUCCUUAGGAUCGGAUUGAAAUCUAGCACACAUGCAUACGCUAAGCAUAAUAUCCGGUCUACUAGCACAUAAAUAAAGUAAUGACCCUAUCAUUGACCGGUAUGCUUUUUGAUCAACGGACUUACCUCCUUUGGUGAGGUCGGUGUGCCCGUCGGUUCCCAUCGGAGUUUUUGCGGGCUUGGCGUCCUUCAUCCCAAACCGCUUUAGCAGAUCUUGCGUGUACUUCGUUUGGGAGAUGAAGGUGCCGUCCUUGAGUUGCUUCACUUGGAACCCAAGGAAGUAGUUCAACUCUCCCAUCAUCGACAUCUCGAAUUUAUGCGUCAUCACCCUGCUAAACUCUUCACAAGACUUUUGGUUAGUAGAACCAAAUAUUAUGUCAUCGACAUAAAUUUGGCACACAAACAAAUCACCAUCACAUGUCUUUGUAAAAAGAGUUGGAUCGGCUUUCCCAACCUUGAAAGCAUUAACAAUUAAAAAGUCUCUAAGGCAUUCAUACCAUGCUCUUGGGGCUUGCUUAAGUCCAUAGAGCGCCUUAGAGAGCUUACACACAUGGUCGGGGUACCGUUCAUCCUCGAAGCCAGGGGGUUGCUCUACGUACACCUCCUCCUUGAUUGGCCCGUUAAGGAAAGCGCUCUUCACAUCCAUUUGGUACAACCUGAAAGAGUGAUGAGCGGCAUAUGCUAGCAAGAUACGAAUUGAUUCUAGCCUAUCCACAGGAGCAAAAGUCUCCUCGAAAUCCAAACCUGCGACUUGGGCAUAUCCUUUUGCCACAAGUCGAGCCUUGUUUCUCGUCACCACUCCGUGCUCGUCUUGUUUGUUGCGGAACACCCACUUGGUUCCCACAACAUUUUGCUUAGGACGAGGCACCAGUGUCCAAACUUCAUUCCUCUUGAAGUUGUUGAGCUCCUCCUGCAUGGCCAACACCCAGUCCGGAUCUAGUAAGGCCUCCUCUACCCUGAAAGGCUCAAUAGAAGAGACAAAGGAGUAAUGCUCACAAAAAUUAACUAAUCGAGACCGAGUAGUUACUCCCUUGCUAAUGUCACCUAGAAUUUGGUCGACGGGAUGAUCCCUUUGAAUCAUCGCUCGAACUUGGGUUGGAGGUGCCGGUUGCGCUUCUUCCUCCAUUACAUUAUCAACUUGUGCUCCCCCUUGAUCACACGCCUCCACUUGAGGUACCUGUUCGUCAUCUUGUGUUGGGGGAUGCACCACGGUUGAGGAAGAAGGUUGAUCUUGCUCCAAGUGUUCCUGUGGUCGCACAUCACCAAUCGCCAUGGUGCGCAUAGCGGCCGUUGGAACAUCUUCUUCAUCUACAUCAUCAAGAUCAACAGCUUGCUCUCUUGGAGAGCCAUUAGUCUCAUCAAAUACAACGUCGCUAGAGACUUCAACCAAACCCGAUGAUUUGUUGAAGACUCUAUACACCUUUGUAUUUGAGUCAUAACCUAAUAAAAACCCUUCUACUGCUUUGGGAGCAAACUUAGAAUUUCUACCCUUCUUCACUAGAAUGUAGCACUUGCUCCCAAAUACACGAAAAUAAGAUACAUUGGGUUUGUUACCGGUUAGUAGCUCAUACGACGUCUUCUUGAGGAGGCGAUGAAGGUAGACCCUGUUGAUGGCGUGGCAAGCCGUGUUCACGGCUUCCGUCCAAAAGCACUCGGGGGUCUUGAACUCUCCUAGCAUCGUCCUCGCCAUGUCGAUGAGCGUCCUGUUCUUCCUCUCUACCACACCAUUUUGUUGUGGUGUGUAGGGAGCGGAGAACUCGUGCUUGAUCCCUUCCUCUUCAAGGAACUCCUCCACUUGAAGGUUCUUGAACUCGGACCCGUUGUCACUCCUUAUCUUCUUCACCUUGAGCUCAAACUCAUUUUGAGCUCUCCUGAGGAAGCGCUUGAGGGUCCCUUGGGUUUCAGACUUAUCCUGCAAAAAGAACACCCAAGUGAAGCGGGAAAAAUCAUCUACAAUAACUAGACCAUACUUACUCCCUCCUAUGCUCAGAUAGGCGACGGGUCCGAAGAGGUCCAUAUGCAGCAGCUCCAGAGGUCUUGAAGUGGUCAUCACAUUCUUGCUGUGAUGCGUUCCUCCCACUUGUUUACCUGCUUGACAAGCUGCACAAGGUCUAUCUUUUUCGAAUUGAACGUUAGUCAAACCUAUCACGUGUUCUCCCUUUAGAAGCUUGUGGAGGUUCUUCAUCCCCACAUGUGCUAAGCGGCGAUGCCACAGCCAGCCCAUGCUAGUCUUAGCUAUUAAGCAUGCAUCUAGACCGGCCUCUUCUUUUGCAAAAUCAACUAAAUAAAGUUUGCCGUCUAAUACACCCUUAAAAGCUAGUGAACCAUCACUUCUUCUAAAGACAGACACAUCUACAUUUGUAAAUAGACAGUUAUACCCCAUGUUGCAUAAUUGACUAACAGAUAGCAAAUUAUAACCAAGAGACUCUACUAAAAACACAUUAGAGAUAGAGUGCUCAUUAGAAAUUGCAAUUUUACCUAACCCUUUUACCUUGCCUUGAUUCCCAUCACCGAAUACAAUUGAAUCUUGGGAAUCCUUAUUUUUGACGUAGGAGGUGAACAUCUUCUUCUCCCCCGUCAUAUGGUUUGUGCAUCCGCUGUCGAUAAUCCAGCUUGAACCCCCGGAUGCAUAAACCUGCAAGGCAAAUUUAGGCUUGGGUUUUAGGUACCCAACUCAUGUUGGGUCCUAUAAGGUUAGCACAAAUAUCUUUAGGGACCCAAAUGCAAGUUUUGUCUCCCUUGCAUCUUGCCCCUAACUUCCUAGCAACAAUUUUCUUAUCCUUUCUACAAAUAGCGAAGGAAGCAUUUAAAGCACAAUAAAUUUUGGAAGGUUCAUUCACUACUUUCUUAGGAGCAUUAUGAAUUACAUUUCUCCUAGGCAUUUGGUGAACAACAUUUCUUCUAAACACAUUUCUACCAUGCAUAACAUGAGAACUAGAAGCAGUCAUAGCAUAAGAGUCAUAAGCAUGUGAAUCAAAAACAUCAUUACCUCUAAAAGCAUUUCUAGAGUAUCUCCUAUCAUAGUACAUGAAAGCAUGAUUCUUCUUAACACUAUUAGCCAUAGGAGCCUUCCCUUUCUCCUUGGUGGAGACAGGAGUCUUAUGGCUUGUUAAGUUCUUGGCUUCCCUCUUGAAGCCAAGCCCAUCCUUAAUUGAGGGGUGUCUACCAAUAGUGUAGGCAUCCCUUGCAAAUUUUAGUUUUUCAAAUUCACUCUUGCUAGUCUUAAGUUGGGCAUUAAGACUAGCUAAUUCAUCAUUCAAUUUUGAAAUGGAAACUAAGUGUUCACUAUAGGCAUUAAUAUCAACAUCCUUGCACCUAGUGCAAAUUUCAACAUGUUCAACACAAGAGUUGGAUUUAUGUGCUUCUACUAGUUUAGCAUUUAAGUCAUCAUUAAUGCUCUUUAAUUUAGAAAUAGAAUCAUGGCAUGUUGACACUUCACAAGCAAGCAUUUCAUUCCUCUUAAUUUCUAAUGCAAGGGAUUUUUGAGCCUCUACAAACUUAUCAUGUUCUUCAUACAACAAAUCCUCUUGCUUUUCUAAAAGUAUAUUCUUUUCAUUCAAGGCAUCAAUUAAUUCAUUAAUUUUGUCUAUCUUAGAUCUAUCUAAGCCCUUGAACAAACAUGAAUAAUCUACUUCAUCCUCAUCACUAGAUUCGUCCUCACUUGAAGAAGCAUAGGUAGAGUUGCGAGUACAUACCUUCUUCUCCCUUGCCAUAAGGCAUGUGUGACGCUCGUUUGGGAAGAGGAUUGAUUUGUUGAAGGCGGUGGCGGCGAGUCCUUCAUUGUCGGAGUCGGAAGAGGAGCAAUCCGAGUCCCACUCCUUGCCUAGAUGCGCCUCCCCCUUUGCCUUCUUGUAAUGCUUCUUCUUUUCCCUCUUGUUUCCCUUUUCCUGGUCACUAUCAUUAUCGGGGCAGUUAGCGAUAAAAUGACCAAUCUUACCGCACUUGAAGCAUGAGCGCUUCCCCUUCGUCUUGGUCUUGCUUGGCUGCCCCUUGUGACCCUUUAGCACCGUCUUGAAGCGUUUGAUGAUGAGAGCCAUCUCUUCAUCAUUAAGUCCGACCGCCUCAAUUUGUGCCACCUUGCUAGGUAGCGCCUCCUUGCUUCUUGUUGCUUUGAGAGCAAAAGGUUGUGGUUCGUUGAUCAGUCCAUUCAAGGCGUCGUCCACGUACCUUGCCUCCUUGAUCAUCAUUCGCCCGCUGACGAAUUUUCCUAAGACUUCUUCGGGCGACAUUUUGGUGUACCUGGGAUUCUCACGAAUAUUAUUCACCAAAUGAGGAUCAAGAACGGUAAAGGACCUUAGCAUUAGUCGGACGACGUCGUGGUCCGUCCAUCGCGUGCUUCCGUAGCUCCUUAUUUUGUUGAUAAGGGUCUUGAGCCGGUUGUAUGUUUGAGUUGGCUCCUCGCCCCUUAUCAUCGCGAACCGUCCAAGCUCGCCCUCCACCAACUCCAUUUUGGUGAGCAAGGUAGCGUCAUUUCCCUCAUGAGAGAUCUUGAGGGUAUCCCAGAUUUGCUUGGCGUUAUCCAAGCCACUCACUUUGUUAUAUUCAUCCCUGCACAAUGAAGCUAGAAGAACAGUAGUAGCUUGUGCAUUCUUAUGGAUUUGCUCAUUAAUGAAUAUAGGACUAUCCGAACUAUUAAAGUGCAUUCCACUAUCUACAAUCUCCCAUAUACUAGGAUGGAGAGAGAAUAGGUGACUACGCAUUUUGUGGCUCCAAAAUCCGUAGUCUUCUCCAUCAAAGUGUGGGGGCUUGCCAAGUGGAAUGGAAAGCAAAUGUGAAUUUGAACUUUGCGGAAUACGAGAGUAGUCAAAAGAAAAGUUAGAAUUAACCGGUUUCCUUUGCUCGUAGUCGUUGUCCUUUUGGGAAGAGGAAGAUUCGUCGCUGUCGUCGUAGUAGACGAUCUCCUUGAUGCGCCUUGUCUUCUUCUUCUUCCCUUCCUUCCGUCUAUGGCCCGAGCCGGAGUCGGUAGGCUUGUCAUCUUUGGGCUCGUUGACAAAGGACUCCUUCUCCUUGUCGUUGAUCACGAUUCCCUUCCCCUUAGGAUCCAUCUCUUCGGGCGGUUAGUCCCUUUCUUGAAGAGAACGCCUCUGAUACCAAUUGAGAGCACCUAGAGGGGGGGGUGAAUAGGUGAUCCUGUAAAACUUCAAAACUUAAGCCACAAAAACUUGUUAAGUGUUAGCACAAUUAUGGCCAAGUGGCUAGAGAGGAGUCAAAACACAAUAACCACAAGAAAUCAAUCACAGAGAUGACACGGUGGUUAUCCCGUGGUUCGGCCAAGUACAAAACUUGCCUACUCCACGUUGUGGCGUCCCAACGGACGAGAGUUGCACUCAACUCCUCUCAAGUGAUCCAAUGAUCAACUUGAAUACCACGGUGUUCUUCUUUUCUUUUCUCAAUCCCGUUUGCGAGGAAUCUCCACACUUUGGAGCCUCUCGCCCUUACAAAAGAUGUUCACAGAGAAUCACAGAGCAAGGGAGGGAUUAGCAACUCACACACGACACAAAGAUCACAGCGAAUACGCACACACAAGACCCAGACUUGAGCUCAAGAGACUAGCACACUAGAACGGAGCUCAAAUCACUAGAAUGUCGAACAAGUGCGCAAGAUUGAUGUGUGAGUGAUCAAGAGUGCUCAAGGAAUGCUUGGUUCUCUCCUCCCUGCGCCUAGGGGUCCCUUUUAUAGCCCCAAGGCAGCUAGGAGCCGUUGAGAACAAAUCUGGAAGGCUAUCCUUGCCUUCUGUAGUCGGGCGCACCGGACAGUCCGGUGCACACCGGAUACUGUCCGGUGCCCGAUUUCUUUCCUUAACAGUCGCAGCCGACCGUUGCCAACCGUUGCAGAUCUGGCGCACCGGACAGUCCGGUGCACACCGGACAGUCCGGUGCCUCCUUCCGACCGUUGCCCAGACCACGUGUCGCGCGCAGAUUCCGUGGCCGACCGUUGGCUCGACCGACCGUUGGCUCACCGGACAGUCCGGUGCACACCGGACAGUCCGGUGAAUUAUAGUCGUACGCCGUCGGCAAAAUUCCCGAGAGCGGCCUCUUCGUCCGAGGCAGCCUGGCGCACCGGACACUGUCCGGUGCACCACCGGACAGUCCGGUGCCCCAGACCGAAACAGCCUGUUGGCUGUACACAACCAACAUUCUCCUUUUCUUCUUCUCUCUAUUUUUAACACUUAGACAAAUAUAUUAGUACACAAACCAAUGUACUAAGGCUUAGAAACAUACCUUUACUUGUGAUUUGCACUUUGUUCAUCCAUGGGCAUAGAUUCACAUUAAAGCACUUGUGUUGACACUUAAUCACCAAAAUACUUAGAAAUGGCCCAAGGGCACAUUUCCCUUUCAAAAGGCCGGGUCUCUUUCAACCCUUCCCUCUCUCAAACGGUCCCUCGGACCGAGUGAGCUUCUCUUCUCAAAUCACUUGGGAAUCAAACUUCCCGCAAGGACCACCACACACUUGGUGUCUCUUGCCUCAAUUACAAGUGAGUGUUUGAUCACAAGAAAGAAUGCCAAAGAAAAGAAGCGAUCCAAGCGCAAGAGCUCAAAUGAACACUACAAAUCACUCUCUCUAGUCACUAAGGCUUUGUGUGGAGUUGGGAGAGGAUUUGAUCUCUUUUGGUGUGCCUUGCAAUGAAUGCUAGCUCUUGUAUAGUGGUUGGAAGCUGGAAAACUUGGAUGCAAUGAAUGGUGGGGUGGUUGGGGUAUUUAUAGCCCCAACCACCAAACAUGACCGUUGGUGGAGGCUGUCUGUCGUAUGGUGCACCGGACAGUCCGGUGCACACCGGACAUGUCCGGUGCGCCAGCCACGUCACCAAUGCCGUUGGAAUUUGACCGUUGGAGUUCUGACUUCUGGGCCCGCCUGGAUGUCCGGUGCACACCAGACAUGUACUGUUCAAUGUCCGGUGCGCCAGAAUGGGCGUGCCUGACUUCUGCGCGCUUCUGGCGCGCAUUGAAUGCGCCUGCAGGUAGCCGUUGGCGCGAAGUAGUCGUUGCUCCGGAGUUGCACCGGACAGUCCGGUGUACACCGGACAUGUCCGGUGAAUUAUAGCGGAACAGCCGUUCUGAAUUCCCGAGGCUGCCGAGUUCCAGAGCCGCGUUCCUUUGGAGCACCGGACACUGUCCGGUGUACACCGGACAGUCCGGUGAAUUAUAGCGCGCCGGCUUCUGGAAAUUCCCGAGGCUGAGGAGUUCUGCGCGAGGUCCCCUGGUGCACCGGACACUGUCCGGUGCGCCACCGGACAGUCCGGUGCGCCAGACCAGGGAGCCUUUCGGGAUGCCUUUGGCUCUUUAAUUUGAACCCAACUUUGGUCUUUUUAAUUGGCUUGUUGUGAACCUUUGACACCUGUAUAACUUAUACACUAGAGCAAACUAGUUAGUCCAAUUGUUUGUGUUGGGCAAUUCAACCACCAAAAUUAAUUAGGGACUAGGUGUAAGCCUAAUUCCCUUUCACAACCAAUCGAUGCCUCAAAGCUCGACAACGAGGAGAUGGCGCUUGUCAUCAAAAGCUUUCGGCAAAUCCUCAAGCAAAGAAGGGGGAAGGAUUACAAGCCCCGCUCCAAGAAGGUUUGCUACAAGUGUGGUAAGCCCGGUCACUUUAUAGCUAAAUGUCCAAUUUCUAGUGACAGUGACAGGGGUGAUGACAAGAAGGGGAGAAGAAAGGAGAAGAAGAGGUACUACAAGAAGAAGGGCGGCGAUGCCCAUGUUUGUCGGGAGUGGGACUCCGACGAAAGCUCUAGCGACUCCUCCUCCGACGAGGACGCUGCCAACAUCGCCGUCACCAAGGGACUUCUCUUCCCCAACGUCGGCCACAAGUGUCUCAUGGCAAAGGACGGCAAAAGGAAGAAGGUUAAAUCUAAAUCCUCCACUAGAUAUGAGUCCUCUAGUGAUGAUAAUGCUAGUGAUGAGGAAGAUAAUUUGCGUACCCUUUUUGCCAACCUUAACAUGGAACAAAAAGAAAAACUAAAUGAGGUAAUUAGUGUCAUCCAUGAGAAGGAUGAUCUCUUGGACUCCCAAGAAGACUUCCUAAUCAAGGAAAAUAAAAAGCAUGUUAAGGUUAAGAAUGCUCAUGCUCUAGAGGUAGAAAAAUGUGAGAAAUUAACUAGUGAGCUAAGCACAUGCCAUGACUCUAUUGCCAACCUUAGAAAUGAAAAUGCUAAUUUGUUAGCUAAGGUUGAUUCUCAUGUUUGUAAUGUUUCAACUUCCAAUCCUAGAGAUAAUGAUGAUGAUUUACUUGCUAGGAUUGAAGAAUUGAAUGUUUCACUUGCUAGCCUUAGAAAUGAAAAUGAAAAAUUGCUUGCUAAGGCUAAAGAUUUUGAUGUUUGCAAUACUACUAUUUCCGACCUUAGAACUAAGAAUGAUAUGUUACAUGCUAAGGUUGUAGAAUUAAAAUCUUGCAAACCCUCUACAUCUACCGUUGAGCACACUACCAUUUGUACUAGAUGUAGAGAUGUUAACAUUGAUGUUAUACAUGAUCACAUGGCUUUAAUUAAACAACAAAAUGAUCAUAUAGCAAAAUAGAUGCUAAAAUUGUCGAGCAUAACUUAGAAAAUGAAAAAUUUAAAUUUGCUAGAAGUAUGCUCUAUAGUGGGAGACGCCCUGGCAUCAAGGAUGGCAUUGGCUUCCAACAGGGAGGCAAUGUCAAACUUAAUGCCCCUCCAAAGAAAUUGUCCAACUUUGUUAAGGGCAAGGCUCCCAUGCCUCAAGAUAACGAGGGUGACAUUUUAUACCCUGCCGGUUAUCCCGAGUACAAAAUUAGGAGAAUUCAUUCUAGGAAGUCUCACUCUGGCCCUAAUCAUGCUUUCAUGUAUAAGGGUGAGACAUCUAGCUCUAGGCAACCAACCCAUGCUAAGUUGCCUAAGAAGAAAACUCCUAGUGCAUCAAAUGAACAUAGCUUUUCAUUUAAAACCUUUGAUGCAUCAUAUGUUUUGACUAACAAAUCCGGCAAGGUCGUUGCCAAGUAUGUUGGGGGCAAACACAAGAGCUCCAAAACUUGUGUUUGGAUUCCCAAAGUUCUUGUUUCUAAUGCCAAAGGACCCAAAACCGUUUGGGUACCUAAAGUCAAGAACUAAACUUGUUUUGUAGGUUUAUGCAUCCGGGGGCUCAAGUUGGAUAAUCAACAGCGGGUGCAUGUCGGUGUUUUGGGUCCGACCGCACACCCGGGGUUGCCCCUCAAGGUGUUUUUAGGAGUAGGACGGUGUCGACGACUGUAGCAAAAUGGUUUGUGCCAAUUGCACGAGGGACAGUGGACAAGAUUUACAGGUUCGGGCCGCUUAGAGAUGCGUAACACCCUACGUCCUGGUGAGUAUGCUGAGUGAAUGAGGUUACAAGAGAGCUCUCUGAAUUGAGAAUGCAGAGAGUUGAAAUGGGUGGCUAAGUAAUAGGGUCGAUCGAUCUGAAGGGGUGCCCCCUAGGCCUUAUAUACUCGACCGUGGGGCAAUACACGUGGAUAUGAUAACAAUGUGUAGCUAAAAGAUAGUGAACUGUUUGAGUUUAUCUCCCUGUAGUUCUGCCGACUUAUCCUCGCAUGGCUCCGUUGCAUGGGGGCUCCAGCGCGGGAAAGUCGGAUCUCUGUUGUGGUCGCUCGCUCGACGUUGUGGGCCGUCCGGGUUUGCACCAAUCCGGCCUCAUGUCGAUCUGCUUUGCUGGUUGUCCCUCCUCAGGCCCACGAAAGAAUGACCUUAUGAUUUAUUGGGCCCUUGGGCCUUUCGUGAGGUCUUUUACUCUUUUAGUGGACCCAGGGGAUAUCUGUCCCCCACAAGCCCCCGAUCUUUGGGUUAAUUUAGAGGUAAUCAGCCCGAAGAUCCCAGGUCCAGCUUGCAGGCGAUUUGAAGAAAACGACUUCUUACUGUUUCCUCCUGCUUUGAUCACUCGUAAACCGAAGCUUUGUUUCGUGCUUGUGCCUUAGAGGUCGGCAUUUCGUUUUGUAGGACCUCGAACUUCAUUGGGUGCACCGGAGGUCCACCCAAUGGGGGUAGCCCCCGAGCUUCGAGUAGAUUUUUAGAAAAUAAUCUACUCGAAGGUCUUCACCAGGAAUUAUUUCCAUUUUUACUCCUACGUUUUGGUUGAGGACCAGCCUUGUCUUUAAUCUUGCCCCAUGCCUUAGAAGUCGGUAUUAUCUUGGCUUGGAAUGAUGAUCCAUGGGGUGCACCGAAGGUGCACCCAAUGGGUGUAGCCCCCGACCUUCGAGUGGAUUUUUGAGGAUAAUCCAUUCGAAGGUCUUCCUUUUGUGUCUUUUUGCUGAAGAUUAUCCUUUCUGCUUGUAAAAAUCGGCAUGAUGCCAUCCGCAUUAUGCUUUGGAGGUCAGCAUUAUGUCAUCAAUAUUGUGCUUCAGAGGUCAGCAUGUAUUUUGUCUUUUGCAGCCGAGUUCGCAAUCCAUCCAUAUCUUGCUAGGUGGUGUAAUUUAUUUGCUCUGCGGUUGAUUGGACAUUUGAUGGACGUUCUCUGUCUAGUCUUCACGUCGCUUUUGUCGGCCAUAUUUUGUACUUCACUGGCUAUAUUUGUCUUUCCUCUGAUCCUUACUGAUAUCUCAUUUUUGUCUUGAGGUAUUCACUGCACGCCCUGUACAGAUGUGACCGUUUUGAAAAAUAUACUGAUAAUUCUUGGGCGUCCCCCCCAAUGGGUGUGGGCAAGGGACGGCUUGGUACGCUGAGUGUUUUAGCCGACCGCUUCUGAGUAGUAAUGUGAUGUGACGGCGGGUGUAAUCAUAUCCUCCGUGCUGUUGACUGGAGUCCCAAUGGGUGUUGUGUUGCGUGAAACGGCGUCAGCCGCCUGACGUGUCUUCAGACGGGUUGAAGUGCUUAUUGAAUGCUUUGCGACUGUUCAGUGACCGCAGUUGGAGGUGAGCGAUUGCCUUCUCCUUCUAUAAAUAAUGUCGUUGUCUCUCCGGCUUUUUCACAUCUCUUGCUGUUCUCUAUUGCUUGUCUUUCUUCUCUCCCUUUCGCUUCAACCAUGGGCAUGAACAACAAGCGCAAGCGUGAGCCGACUCCUCCAUCGGAGGAUUUUGGUGACUCGGAGUACUCAGAGGAGGAGUUCUCCUCUGAGUCUGAGGGGCUCCGGCUCCCAUCCCCCUGCGUGAGUCGUCUGACGACUCAAGCGACUCCAGGGGCUCGCGGCGGAGGUCUGGACGUACAUCCGGGCCGUCGAGCGCUCCGGGCUCGAGGGCUCGUAUGAGUCGGAGUACUCCUCGGAUGAGGAGGACUCGGACGGUGGUGGCGAGGACGAGGACGGCGACGACGACGACGACGACGAAGGCGGUGGCGGCGGUGACGGUGACGGCAGCGGCAGGGGCGGCGGCAGCGGCAGCAGGGGCGGCAGCGGCGGUGGCGGCAGCGGCAGAGGCAGCAACAGGGGCGGCAGCGGCGGCGGCAGCAACAGGGCCAGUGGCUAGAUGCCAAUGGUCUUUUAGGUGUUAGUAUAGUAUAGUUAGAAUAAUGUAGUAGUAUUUAGUAGUGUAGUAGUAGUAGCAGUAAUGUAAUAUAAUGUAGUAGUAGUAAUAGGGAAGUAUCAACUCAUAAUGAGUUGAUUUGUAAGUAUGGUAUCUUCCCUUUAAUGAUGAAAUGAAGUUAGUUUGUCUGUGAUGAUUGCUCUUCGAUAUUCAUAACUCAAAAGUUCUUGAAUCAUUUAUCUUCCCGCCUUUUUCGUGAAGUUGAUUCCUUUGAAACAGUAAAUGAAUAACUCGGGCAUCAUACUGAUGCUUUUAUAAGUAGCUGCCGAGCGAAUUGUAGAUGAUGUCAGAGUUUUACAGAUAAUUGCCGAGUAACUUGAAGACGACGUCGGCGCCUUAGAGGUAACUGUCGAGCGACUGAACACGAUGUCGGAAUUUUAGAGAUAACUGCCGAGUGACCUGAGGGCAACGUCAGCGUUUUAGAGGUAACGCCGAGCGACUUGAAGACGAUGUCAGCGUUUUAGAGGUGACACCGAGUGACUGGAGGGCAAAGUCAGCGUUUUAGAGGUAACGCCGAGCGGCUGGAGGGCGACGUCAGCGUUUUAGAGGUAACACCGAGUGACUGGAGGGCAACGUCAGCGUUUUAGAGGUAACGCCGAGCGACUUGAAGACGAUGUCAGCAUUUUAGAGGUAACGCCGAGUGACUGGGGGGCGACGUCAGUGUUUUAGAGGUAACGCCGAGCGACUGGAGGGCGACAUCAGCGUUUUAGAGGUAACGCCGAGCGACUUGAAGACGACGCCAGCGUUUUAGAGGUAACGCCGAGCGACUUGAGGACGACGUUAGCGUUUUAGAAGUAACGCCGAGUGAUAGCGGGCUGCGUGGGCCACUUUGAGGAUAAUAGCCGAGUGAUGAUGUGGCGCACCGGUGUUCUGGAAAUAACUACCGGGUGAUCACGUGGCACGCCGGUGUUUUGGAAAUAACCGCCGGGUGCUGACUGGGCGCUUUUUGAAACGGUAUCUGGCUCGGGAAUAUCCCAUAAGUGCUGCGCUUUUAGCCGCCUCUGCUUUCCGUGCCCUAGUUCUUGCUUUCUUGCUCCCGAAUCCUGUCUGCAAUUCGCCUCCCACUCUGCUCGCCGGUAGAAUCGAGAUGGCGCCCAUGAGGAAAGCCUCGAGUUCGUCCGCCGUGGUGAUUCCUCCAAUCGACCCCAACAGCCAGUUGCCUUUCGCAGGUAACCACAUGUCUGUCAUCUCUGAGCCCGAACUUCUCCACCUCGUGUCCAUCGGGGUUCUUCCUCUGAGGGAACUCUGUUCUUGGCGGAUUUGCCAUGGGGUUACUGUCCCAACCGAGGAUACCCAUGAGUCCGUGAUUUAUGCUCCUUUCCUUCUCCGCGGCCUCGGUCUUCCCAUUUCUCCCUUUUUCCGCGGCCUCCUUGAUUUCUACCAUCUUAACUUGACCCAUCUGAAUCCUAAUUCUAUCCUGCAAAUCUCCAUUUUCGUUCAUUUAUGCGAAGCCUUUCUUGGCGUGCUGCCACAUUUCGGGUUGUGGAAGUACUUGUAUCACUGUCGCCCUGGGAUGGUCGGGGGACAACAUCAGUUGGUUGGUGGUGCUAGCUUGGAGAUGCGCCGCGGGAGGAAGACUGAGUAUCUCGAAAUCCCUCUCAAAGACAGUAUCAAGGGAUGGCGCUUGGAGUGGUUCAUAGUUGAGAAUUAUGGAAACUCUCUCCCCCCUUGGUCAGGAAGACAGCCGGAUGUUCGCACCCCAAGCUGGACCGAGUCCCCCACAGAUCAGGAGGUAGCCGAGGCAGGUGCUUUGCUGGCUGAAGUUGGAUUGCUGAAGGAGAGGGGUCUGACUGCUGAGGCUGUUGCUGCUGAUUUUGUCUUCAAGAAUAUUCAGCCAUUGAAAGACAGGGUGUACCCGGCUUAUCUGUAUCGAGGCCUAGCCGACUCAACUCGGGUUACCAACAGAAGAAUUCCCUCUGCAGACUUGGUGAGCCGACUUGAGAUGAUCCUUAGAGGCAAAGUGUCAAAUGUUGGUGCCCCAGUGGCAUACUCGGCCUGGAACCUGCCUCCUCCCAAAGCCUUCACCCUUUUGUGUCGAAUCCACCUGUCACUGAUGGCAGUUUGGACCUUAGAGUGCGACCCUCUACUGAAGAAGUUAGUGCCUUGGUUGCCUCGCUCGGGGAGAUUCCUGAUGAUGAACGGCAGGUCCAUUUUGAGGUGCCCCUGAACCCUAGUGAUGCAGAGAUAAGCGCUAUGCUUGAUUUGCUGGCUGAGGACUCUUCUGACGCUGCUCUUGCUGGGGCAUUGGUAGUGGCGCCCCUCCCAGAGGCUGAUACAACCUUGGAUACUCAGAAGCCUGCCAGUACUCGCCCGAGGCGCCCUUGCCGAGCCAAUCAACCUGAUCCUUCUGCUGAUGAGCAGAAAAAGAAAAAGAGACGCCUCCGACGAGUAUCUAGUUUGGAUCGGGACGUUGGUGCCUCGGUUCCUGCUGUUGAAGAAGUGCCUGUGACUGAAUUUACUGAUGCUGACCCCAAUGGGUGUACCCAAUCCGCUGCUGAUCCCAAUGUGGGUGCUCCAUCUGUUGCUGAUCCCAAUGGGGGUGCUGUCUGUGUUGCUAAUGUGGACGACGAGGAGGAAGAAGAUGAAGUUCCUUUGACUCGGAAAAACAGUCGGUAGUUCAUCGCUAGCGGUGAAAGUAGUGGAGUUCCUUCUCCUGCUUUGUCUGCUCUCAUUGGUCUGCAAGAACUGUCCCUGGCCAACUUUGAUCAGACUCUUGAGGAUAUGGUUCUAGAGGAUUUGUUAUCGGAGCUGGUGGAUGAUGGUGUGAUGGAGGUUUGUGCUGAUGUGCUUGAUGCUGGGUUGACGUCAUCCCGUGCCUCGUCGACCUUGGAGCACGAUCUCGAGGGUCGGGAGACUGACUUGGAUCGUCCUGGUCCCAUGGAAGUAACUGAGGGCCCAUCAGCCUUAGAAGUGGCUACCGCAGAGAACUUAGACCCCAAGGAUGGUGUUGACACAUGCCCAGCCCCUGAGGAUGUCGCUGGGGAUGACUUGGUUCGGGUGGGAAGUGUAAGCCACUGCCCAGCCCCCGAGGGUGCUGCCGGGGAUGAUCCGGCUCAAGUGGGCAGUGCCAACUAUGACCCAGCCCCCGAGGGUGUCCGAGCGGGGUCUCCUUCCUGUACUUCCAUGGACGUUCAUGCGGGAUCGCCUCCACACUCCGGCUGUAUGGUGGUAGCCCAAGCCUUGGACUAGGGAGUCGCUUUAGAGGGCAGCGUCCCCGCUGACCGAGUGUUGAGCUCUGUUGAUGGCACCGAGCUGAUUCCUGCUGGUUUGUCGCAAGCUGCUUCGGGUGGUGGCCUUACGCCUGGUUAUCAAUUGAUCUCUCCUGAUUUGGGGAUCCCUUCGUUCUUUUCCAACCUCCAGGUACUGUGAUGUAUUUUAGCUUGGUUUUUACAUUUGCAUGAACUGCUGUCAUUACACUCAUCUGUUCUCCUCAUCAGGCUUUGGUGGAUGGGAUGGCUAGCCAGCUGAGGUUACAGGGUGCUUCUGUCCCAGAAGUAGCUUCAUCUCUUGCAUGUUGGAAUCCAGUGUCACUUCAACGUCGUGUCUCUGAAUUGGAGGCGACCAACGCUGGUUAGUGUUUUUUUGCUUCUUUUUGUCUUCACUGUAAACUGCUUUACAUUCUGACCCCUUUUUGUUUGAUUGUCUCCUGCUAGGAAUGACUCGGCAGAUUUCCACUCUUGAGGAAAAACAUUCCCGAGAUCAGGCUGAAUUGGUCCAGCGGUGCACUGACUUUGAGGAAAAGUACUCUCAGAGCCAGACUGAACUGGGUCAGGUCUCCGCUGCCUUAGAUGACGCCAAUGCACUGAGUUCUUCUCUUCACGCUCAGCUCAAUUCUGAAAAGGUGAUUUACGGAACUGUGUUUUGCCUUGUUGUGCUCCUAUUACUUGCUUGGUGUUUGAGGGAGUUGACUUUUGUUUGCAGGAAGAAAAAUGUAUCCUUGCUGCUUCUCGUGACAGUCUCGACAGAUUGUAUCGCGAUUCUAGCAACUCGCUGACCAUCCUGGAGAGGAGUCAUCGCUUCACCAUGGAAGAGUUAGACAACCAACGCUGUAAGCUGCAGGAAUCCACGGAUGAAGUGACCCGGCUCAAACAGUUGAUAUCAGCGAAGGACUCUACUAUCAAAGAACUCCGAGCUUCCAAGAAAUCCAUCGCCUAAGAGUUAGAAACUGCUCGGCUGGCUGCCAAGGUCGUCGAAGAAACUUCUGUUACUCUCAGAGCCCAGCGCGAUAGGGCCAUGGACAAGGCUAUUCGAGCGGGGCGAAUCUUGAUGAGGAGACCCGGCGUGGUUGUUCCCGAAGAUAUAAGGGCUGAUGUGAGUGCUGCCCCUGAUUCUUCGAGUCGUCCUUCCUCAUCGAUUGCUCCUGAGAAAAAUAUCACAAAAUAGAGAAACAUUUUGCGUGCUUUGAGCGCGCGGUUAGCAUGGUCAGACAUUUGUUAGAGGACGUCAUUUCAGUACUUAAACGACAUUGUUAUUCUCGUAUUGUUUCCGAAUUCAUCAGUUCGUAAAUUUGCAGUAGUAAAAUGAUGUGCGAUGGUUUUGAAAUUUGUUUGCGGGAUAUAGAAGUCAUCCUUAUAUGAGUAAUUGUAAUCACGUCAGAUCUCCUUAAGUUGCUGCUGACUUAAGUCGAUUGCUUUUGUUAAUAGGGCGUAGUGGUCACCCUGAAUUGCGUAGGCGUGAGCAUGUUGCACCGCCUUAAGUCGUUGCCGACUUAAGCCGAUUGCUCCGUUAGCAGGGCAUAGUGGUCACCCCGAGUUAAGUAUGCGCGAGCAUGUUGCACCGCCUUAAGUCGUUGCCGACUUAAGCCGAUUGCUCCGUUAGCAGGGCAUAGUGGUCACCCCGAGUUAAGUAAGCAUGAGCAUGUUGCACCGCCUUAAGUCGUUGCCGACUUAAGCCGAUUGCUCCGUUGGCAGGGCAUAGUGGUCACCCCGAGUUAAGUAAGCGUGAGCGUGUUGCACCGCCUUAAGUCAUUGCCGACUUAAGCUGAUUGCUCCGUUAGCAGGGCAUAGUGGUCACCCCGAGUUAAGUAAGCGUGAGCAUGUUGCACCGCCUUAAGUCGUUGCCGACUUAAGCCGAUUGCUCCGUUAGCAGGGCAUAGUGGUCACCCCAAGUUAAGUAAGCGCGAGCAUGUUGCACCGCCUUAAGUCGUUGCCGACUUAAGCCGAUUGCUCCGUUAGCAGGGCAUAGUGGUCACCCCGAGUUAAGUAAGCGUGAGCAUGUUGCACCGCCUUAAGUCGUUGCCGACUUAAGCCGAUUGCUCCGUUGGCAGGGCAUAGUGGUCACCCCGAGUUAAGUAAGAAUGUAAGUCAAUCGUGAACAAACUGAGUAUCUUUGAAACCCCUUUUUUAUUGAUGACAUAUUUCCACUUUACAGAGUACAUCGUCGUCCCGAUAGCUUUUGAAAUACAGCUAGGGAUAAAACUUCCUGAGGUGUUCUAUGUUCCAGGAGUUCCCGACUUCUGUGCCAUCCAUCUGAGUGAGACGAUAUGAUCCUGGCCGAGUGACUUCUGCUACUAUGAAGGGUCCUUCCCAUAAGGGUGAUAACUUGUGCCGUCCCUCCCCCGUUAGAAUUCGGCGGAGGACGAGAUCUCCUACUGAGAAGGAUCGUUGUCGCACAGCCUUGUCGUGAUAGCGUCUUAGAGUCUGCUGGUACCGUGCUGAUUGGAUUACCGCAUUCAGCCGUUCUUCUUCAAGUAUAUCAAUGUCCUCCAGCCUGGUGGCCUCGACUUCUGCUAUGUUUUCGAAGAUCAACCUUGGCACCCCGAACUUGAGAUCGGCGGGUAGCACUGCCUCCGACCCAUAGACCAUGAAGAAAGGAGUGUUUCCAUGCAGAGCUCGGCUAGGUUGGGUUCUUAGGCUCCAAACGACAUAGGGCAAUUCCCUUAUCCACUUUCCUGCGAAUUUUUCAUUCUUAUCGAAGACCUUUUUCCUGAGUGCCUCCAGUAUCAUCCCGUUGGCUCGCUCAACCUGCCCGUUGGCUCUUGGAUGUGCUACAGAUGCAUACUUGAUCUGAAUGCUUUUUUGCUCGCAGAAGUCGAAGAACUCUGAACUUGUGAAGUUGGAUCCUAGGUCAGUUAUGAUGCUGUUUGGUAUCCCGAAUCUGAAUAUUAUGUCUUGUAUGAAUUCCACGGCCUUAGCUGAGGUUAAAGAAGCAAUGGACUUGAACUCUAUCCAUUUAGUGAAUUUGUCGAUUGCUACCAAUACAUGAGUGUAUCCUCCUUGAGCUUUCUUGAAAGGUCCAAUCAUAUCCAGUCCCCAGCAUGCGAAAGGCCAAGUUACUGGUAUGGUCUGCAGUUGCUGUGCUGGCAGAUGUUGUUUUGACAAGUAUUGGCAAGCUUCGCACCUCUGAACUAACUCGGCUGCAUCACUCUUCGCUGUUGGCCAAUAGAAUCCUGACCUGAAGACCUUCCCGACUAGUGUUCUGGACGCUGCAUGUAUUCCGCAUUGCCCAGCAUGGACCUCCUUUAGAAGUCGCUUCCUAGUAGAUGGGAGAAUGCACCUCAUGAGGACGCCUGAUGCACCCCUUCUGUACAAUGUCUCCCCAAUGAGCGUGUAGUGAGCCGACUGUCUGGCAAUGCACUCGGCUGAAUUCUUGUCAUCUGGUUCCUCUUCAUUCUUUAUAUACUUGAUGAUUGGCCUUCUCCAGUCAUCAGAGUCUGACUCGGGUUGAUCUAUAAUAUUACACUCUUCUGUUUGAUCCAUUGAGAUGCUCGGUUGUAGUAUUUCUUGCACAAAGACUCCAGGUGGGACCUGAGUUCGACUGGAUCCUAGCUUGGACAACACAUCGACUACUGUGUUCCGAUCUCUUUCUACAUGAUGAAAUUCCAGGCCCUCAAAUUUAUCUUCCAGCUUUCGGACGGCAGUGCAGUAUUUUCCCAUUGAAUCGCUUGAAUAAUCCCACUCUUUGUUUAUCUGGCUAAUGACUACCAGAGAGUCUCUGUACACCAUCAAUCUCUUGAUGCCCAAUGAUAUGGCGAUGGUCAAUCCAUGGAUUAGAGCUUCAUACUCGGCUGCAUUGUUGGAGGCCGGAAAUAGCAACUGGAGGGCAUAUUUGAGGUGCUCGCCUCCAGGUGCGGUGAAGAGAAUUCCUGCUCCUGCUCCCUGCAAUUUCAGCGAGCCAUCAAAAUACAUUCGCCACACUUCUGCAGUCUCUGGGUUAUCUGGUACUUGCUAAUCAGUCCACUCUGAUACGAAAUCAAUCAGUGCUUGAGUUUUGAUGGCAGUACGAGGUCGGAAUUCGAUGUCAUCAGAUCCCAGCUCACAAGCCCACUUGGCUAUUCGGCCAAUGGCUUCCUUGUUGUGAAGAAUAUCCCCUAUCAGAUAACCAGUGACUACUAUGACUUUGUGGUCAUCAAAGUAGUGACGUAGCUUGCGGGCAGUUAGAAGUACUGCAUAUAAUAGCUUCUGAACUUGAGGAUACUUUUUCUUUGAGGGGCCUAGAACUUCACUAAUGAAGUAAACAAGAUGUUGCACUGGGUAGGCAUGUCCUUCUUCUGCUCGCUCGACUACCAACGCGGUGCUUACCACGUGAGUCGUGCAAGAGAUAUACAGUAGCAGAUCUUCAGCUGGUUGAGUUGACGUAGCUCGUCGGGGUGGCUUCAGUACUGGUGGUGUUGUCAAGAAUUUCUUCAGUGCAUCUAGAGCCUCCUGUGCCUCUGAAGUCCACUGAAACUUAUCCACCUUCUUGAGUAGCUUGUAAAAUGGUAAACCUUUUUCCCCCAGCCUGGAUAUAAAUCUGCUCAGAGCUGCCAUACAUCCAGUAAGUCGCUGAACCUUCUUUUGCUAUCGAGGUGCUUCCAUCUUCAUGAUAGCUUCAAUCUUAUCUGGAUUAGCCUCAAUUCCCCGGUGGUUGACAAUAAACCCGAGUAACUUUCUUGCUGGUACCCCGAAAACACAUUUUUCGGGAUUAAGCUUCCAUCUAUAUCGUCUCAGACUGUUGAAAACCAGCUGUAAGUCUUCGAUGAAGUUUUCCGAAUUCUCUGUUUUGAUUACCACAUCAUCUACGUAGGCCUCCACACGCUUGCCCCAGUGAUCGGCUAAGCACGUUUGAAUGGCUCUCUGAUAAGUCGCUCCAGCGUUUUUGAGGCCGAACGACAUGAAGGUAUAACAGAAAGCACCAAACGAAGUGAUGAACGCUGUUUUUCCUCAUCUUCCUUCGCCAAACUAAUCUGAUGGUAUUCGGAAUAGCAAUCCAAGAAAGACAGCACAGAACAUCCAGUGGUGGAGUCCACCACCUGAUCUAUCCUUGGGAGCCCGAAGGGAUCCUUCGGACAAUGUUUGUUGAGAUCAGUAUAGUCGACGCACAUGCGCCAAUCCACUUUAUUCUUUUUGAGUACAAGAACAGGGUUGGCUAACCACUCGGGGUGUAACACCUCUCUAAUAAAUCCAGCCACGACCAAGCGAGCUAACUCGGCGCGAAUGGUCUCUCUCUUGUCGGGCGUGAAACGACGUAGCUUUUGCCGAAUCGGCCUUGCCUGGGGAUAGACCUUCAGUUUGUGCUCGGCCAGUUCUCUUGGGACUCCCGACAUAUCCACAGGUUGCCAUGCGAAUACAUCUCGGUUAUCUUGCAGAAACUGGACGAGCGCGCUUUCCUAUUUGUCGUCCAGGCUGGAGCUGAUGAUGGCAGUCUUGCGUUCAUCAGCGAACCCCAGGUUGAUCCUCUUAGUUUCUUCAGUCGGCCGCAUAGAGGUCGCGGCCUGAGCUUCGUUUGUCGGUACUGCAAGGUCCUCCUAAGGCUUAGAGUUCGCCUGUGUUGAAGAAACCGUCGACGGCUUGGUGGUGAGGGUUGCUUGGAUGGCCACUCGGAAACACUCUGCGGCGCCUUGGAGGUCGGCGCGCACAGUUAUGAUUCCUUGCGGUCCUGGCAUCUUCAGUAUCAUGUACGUGUAAUGUGGAAUGGCCAUGAAUUUGGCCAAUCCCGGCCUCCCGAUGAUGGCGUUGUACCCGCAGUCGAAGUUCGCCACUUCGAACCUCAGGAACUCGGUUCUGUAGUUCUCCGGAGUUCCGAAGGUUACAGGCAUGUAGAUGUGGCCCAGCGGGUAUUCCCCUUCCGUCGGCACGAUGCCGAAGAAAGGAGUGUCCGACUCAUGGAGCUCUUUGAGGUGAACUCCCAAGCCUUGGAGUGUACGGGGGAAGGUGAUGUUGAUGCUGCUCCACCGUCCACUAGCACCUUCUUCACCCGGCUCUCUCGGAUCACCGGAUCGACGAGGAGCGGGUAUUUGCCUGGAUGGUCGAAGUUGAGCCAUUGAUCCUCCCGAGUGAAAGUGAUCGGGUGCUCCGACCACCGGUAUGGGGCGGGAGGACCGGUGGUCGCCACCAGUAUCUGGCGGUCGUUGAGCUUUUGUUGUCUUUUGUUCUCCUGCGACCCAUGUCCGCCGAAGAUGACGUUGACCUCCCUGUCAACGCGCGGGAAAGCUCCUCCUCCUCCCUCCUCCUGCUGAUGGGGUUGUCGUGGUUCAUCUGGUCCUCCCCUCGGCGGAGGAGGAGGUAGAGGUUGGAAGGGUCGGUCGUGGCCGACGGAGUGCUUGAAGUCCCGGCAGUUACGAAGAGUGUGACGCAUGUCCUUGUGGUACGGGCACUGGGCGUCGAGGAUGUCGUCCAGCGUGCGCUCGCCUCCGCGAGGUCCUCCUCGGGCGCGAGAGGCAGGUGGUCCGGUGGCGUGCACUUCUUCGCGAGGCCUCUUCUCCCAACGUUUGUCGGGUUGCUGGUUCGCGUCGCGUCGUGGUGCUGCCGGUGCGGGCUUUGCUCCUCCGAUGAGGUCCUGGGCCCGCUCGUCGGCGGUGAUGUAGAGGUCGGCUUCCCGGAACAGCUCCUCGGAGGUAGUCGGCGCCUUCUGUAAUAUGGCUCGGACGAAAGCCAAGUCAUUGGAUCCUCUGUAGAAGUCCUCGAUCACGGCCGCCUCCGUGACCUCGGGGAUACGAUUUCUCAUGGUCUGGAACCUUUUGAGGUACGACCGGAGAGUUUCGUCUCCCUGGCGCUUGAUGGAUUUGAGGUCCCACGGUUGCGUCGGUUUGUCGGAGAGGGACUGGAAAUUGGCGGUGAAGCGUCGACUGAAGUCGCCCCAGUUGUCGAUGCAGUGUCGGGGUAGAUGUCGCAGCCAUUGCAGCGCGUCUUGCCCAAGGACAAUGGGUAAGUACGCGGUCAUCACGUCUUCGGACGCCCGGCAGCCCGAGCAGCGGUGGUGUAGACGGCUAGCCAACCCCCUGGAUCCUGCUUAGGUUCAUAUUUGUCGACAUUGGAUACCUUGAAGUUGGGAGGCCAUUGGAUGGCCCUAAGGCGCGAAGUAAGAGCAGACACUCUGCAUGUGUCCUCCUGUCGUCGGGGAUGAUGUCUGUACCGGGGAGGGGAGUAGUUGUUGUGGUUCCUCGACCGUCCCCGGGUGGUACCGCCAGUUGAGGCCGUUGCCGACUCAGUUCUGGUGGCCUGGCUCCGAGCUGGGAUGCCAUGAUCCCUGUCGUACUCCUCCCGGCGGCGGAUCUCGUUCUCAUGCCGUCGUUCACGCGAAGCAUUGAUGGAGCUUCGCGCGUCUCGGCGACUGUUGAUGGCGUGUCGUAGAUCGUUCGGCGGGUGAGCAAGCGGUAGAAGAUGGUUGGCUGCCUGGGUGAACAAUCGUCGGUAGCCCUCGGCGUCGGGAGUCCGAGGGAGCCCAUCAGCUAUCCGAGCUAGUACUCCUCCAACUUCGCUCGGCGUGUUCAUGGCUCGGGCGAAGUCGAGGUUCAGGUUGCGCCCGAAGAAUGGAUUCUCCCGGCGUUGCCUUGCAUCUUGCUCGGCUUGUUCCUGAGCUCGAUGGCGAUCACGUCGUCGAGAGUUCCUUCGUUCUCUGAAGACGCGUUCCUCCGGAGUUUCUCCUAUCUCCGAGACCUCGUCCCGCGAGACAGGUUGCUCCGGACCCCGUUCUCCUGCCGCGUGAUGUCGUCGGACGUUCCGGCGUCGGUUCCUCCGUCGGCGGGAUUCUCGUUGAGGUGGUUCUUCUCCGGGUGCGGUCGGCUCGUCAUCGGAGACGGUGGGCGACUCCGCUCUCCCGAUGAAGAGGACGUCCGGAUAGAAUGGUGCUGCUGUCGUGGCAACCUUCUUUCCAUUCUCCUUUGAGGGCGGAGGAACGGAAAGAACAACUUGCUUCCCCUUGGUUUCCUUCUUCCUCGCGAUCUGUGUCCAUUCUUUUGUCGGGGAAGUAGACAGUGGAGUUCUCUGGGUCAGCGGACCCUCGGCCCCUGACUUUCCGGAGACGAUCUUUUUCCGGAGAGCUGGAGGUUGCGCUUCUCCGACAUUUUCGGAGUUUGUUGGAGGAGACUUCUUUUCCGGCGAAUCCGCAAUGCGGUGUAGAGUUCCCUCUUCAUCUGCUAUGGAUGAGAUUGUUCCGAAGCAGAAUACGGAUCCGGGACGGAGGGUGAUCUUGCUGUGGAAGGUGACGGCCAUUGAGCUAGCUUGGAUCGUCGACACACACCCUACCUGGCGCGCCAGCUGUCGGUGUUUUGGGUCCGACCGCACACCCGGGGUUGCCCCUCAAGGUGUUUUUAGGAGUAGGACGGUGUCGACGACUGUAGCAAAAUGGUUCGUGCCAAUUGCACGAGGGACAGUGGACAAGGUUUACAGGUUCGGGCCGCUUAGAGAUGCGUAACACCCUACGUCCUGGUGAGUAUGCUGAGUGAAUGAGGUUACAAGAGAGCUCUCUGAAUUGAGAAUGCAGAGAGUUGAAAUGGGUGGCUAAGUAAUAGGGUCGAUCGAUCUGAAGGGGUGCCCCCUAGGCCUUAUAUACUCGACCGUGGGGCAAUACACGUGGAUAUGAUAACAAUGUGUAGCUAAAAGAUAGUGAACUGUUUGAGUUUAUCUCCCUGUAGUUCUGCCGACUUAUCCUCGCAUGGCUCCGUUGCAUGGGGGCUCCAGCGCGGGAAAGUCGGAUCUCUGUUGUGGUCGCUCGCUCGACAUUGUGGGCCGUCCAGGUUUGCACCAAUCCGGCCUCAUGUCGAUCUGCUUUGCUGGUUGUCCCUCCUCAGGCCCACGAAAGAAUGACCUUACGAUUUAUUGGGCCCUUGGGCCUUUCGUGAGGUCUUUUACUCUUUUAGUGGACCCAGGGGAUAUUUGUCCCCCACAGUGCACAAACCACAUGACAGGGGAGAAGAAGAUGUUCUCCUCAUAUGAGAAAAAUCAAGAUCCCCAACGAGCUAUCAUAUUUGGGGAUGGAAAUCAAGGUUUGGUCAAAGGUUUGGGUAAAAUUGCUAUAUCCCCUGACCAUUCCAUUUCCAAUGUUUUUCUUGUAGAUUCUCUAGAUUACAAUUUGCUUUCCGUUUCGCAAUUAUGUCAAAUGGGCUACAACUGUCUAUUUACUGAUGUAGGUGUCACUGUCUUUAGAAGAAGUGAUGAUUCAAUAGCAUUUAAGGGAGUGUUAGAGGGUCAGCUAUACUUGGUAGAUUUUGAUAGAGCUGAACUCGACACUUGCUUAAUUGCUAAGACUAACAUAGGUUGGCUCUGGCACCGCCGACUAGCCCAUGUUGGGAUGAAGAAUCUUCAUAAGCUUCUAAAGGGAGAGCACAUUUUAGGAUUAACAAAUGUUCAUUUUGAGAAAGACAGGAUUUGUAGCGCAUGCCAAGCAGGGAAGCAAGUUGGUGUUCAUCAUCCGCAUAAGAACAUCAUGACGACUGAUAGACCACUGGAGCUCCUUCACAUGGACCUAUUCGGCCCGAUUGCUUACAUAAGCAUCGGCGGGAGUAAGUACUGUCUAGUUAUUGUGGAUGAUUAUUCUCGCUUCACUUGGGUAUUCUUUUUACAGGAAAAAUCUCAAACCCAAGAGACCUUAAAGGGAUUCUUGAGGAGGAGGGCAUCAAGCAUGAGUUCUCUUCUCCCUACACUCCACAACAAAAUGGUGUAGUGGAGAGGAAGAAUAGAACUCUAUUGGACAUGGCAAGAACCAUGCUUGAUGAGUACAAGACUUCGGAUCGGUUUUGGGCCGAGGCGGUCAACACCGCCUGCUACGCCAUCAACCGGUUGUAUCUACACCGAAUCCUCAAGAAGACAUCAUACGAACUCCUUACCGGUAAAAAGCCCAAUAUUUCAUAUUUUAGAGUCUUUGGUAGCAAAUGCUUUAUUCUUGUUAAAAGAGGUAGAAAAUCUAAAUUUGCUCCUAAAACUGUAGAAGGCUUUUUACUAGGAUAUGACUCAAACACAAGGGCAUAUAGAGUCUUUAACAAGUCCUCAGGACUUGUUGAAGUUUCUUGUGACGUUGUGUUUGAUGAGACUAACGACUCUCAAGUAGAGCAAGUUGAUCUUGAUGAGAUAGGGGAUGAAGAGGCUCCGUGCAUCGCGCUAAGGAACAUGUCCAUUGGGGAUGUGUGUCCUAAGGAAUCCGAAGAGCCUCCAAAUGCACAAGAUCGACCAUCCUCCUCCACGCAGGCAUCUCCACCAACUCAAAAUGAGGAUGAGGCUCAAGUUGAUGAAGGAGAAGAUCAAACAAAUGAGCCACCUCAAUAUGACAACAAUGAUCAAGGGGGAGAUGCAAAUGAUCAAGACAAGGAGGAUGAAGAGCCAAGGCAGCCACACCCAAGAGUCCACCAAGCAAUCCAACGAGAUCACCCCGUCGACACCAUCCUCGACGAUAUUCAUAAGGGGGUAACCACUAGAUCUCGUGUUGCUCAUUUUUGUGAACAUUACUCUUUUGUUUCCUCUAUUGAGCCACACAGGAUAGAGGAAGCACUUCAAGAUUCGGAUUGGGUGGUGGCAAUGCAAGAUGAGCUCAACAACUUCACUAGGAAUGAGGUAUGGCAUUUAGUUCCACGUCCUAAUCAAAAUGUUGUAGGAACCAAAUGGGUCUUCCGCAACAAGCAAGAUGAGCAUGGUGUGGUGACAAGGAACAAAGCUCGACUUGUGGCCAAGGGAUACUCCCAAGUCGAAGGUUUGGAUUUCGGUGAAACCUAUGCACCCGUAGCUAGGCUUGAGUCAAUUCGUAUAUUAUUAGCCUAUGCUACUUACCAUGGCUUUAAGCUUUAUCAAAUGGACGUGAAAAGUGUCUUCCUCAAUGGACCAAUCAAGGAAGAGGUAUAUGUUGAGGAACCUCCCGGCUUUGAAGAUAGUGAGUACCCUAACCAUGUUUAUAAACUCUCUAAGGCGCUUUAUGGGCUCAAGCAAGCCCCAAGAGCAUGGUAUGAAUGCCUUAGAGAUUUCCUUAUCGCUAAUGGCUUUAAAGUCGGAAAGGCUGAUCCUACUUUAUUCACUAAAACUCUUGAAAAUGACUUGUUUGUAUGCCAAAUUUAUGUUGAUGAUAUUAUAUUUGGGUCUACUAACGAGUCUACUUGUGAAGAGUUUAGUAGGAUCAUGACACAAAAAUUCGAGAUGUCUAUGAUGGGGGAGUUGAAGUACUUCUUAGGAUUUCAAGUGAAGCAUCUCCAAGAGGGCACCUUCAUCAGUCAAACAAAGUAUACUCAAGACAUUCUAAACAAGUUUGGGAUGAAGGACGCCAAACCCAUCAAGACACCCAUGGGAACCAAUGGGCAUCUCGACCUCGACACGGGAGGUAAAUUUGUCGAUCAAAAGGUAUACCGGUCGAUGAUUGGUUCUUUGCUAUAUUUAUGUGCAUCUUGACCGGAUAUUAUGCUUUCCGUAUGCAUGUGUGCAAGAUUCCAAGCCGACCCUAAGGAAGCUCACCUUACGGCCGUAAAACGAAUCUUGAGAUACUUAGUUUAUACUCCUAAGUUUGGGCUUUGGUAUCCUAGGGGAUCCACAUUUGAUUUGAUUGGUUAUUCGGAUGCCGAUUGGGCGGGUUGUAAAAUCAAUAGAAAGAGCACAUCGGGGACUUGCCAGUUCUUGGGAAGAUCCUUGGUGUCUUGGGCUUCAAAGAAGCAAAAUUCGGUCGCUCUUUCUACCGCCGAAGCCGAGUAUAUUGCCGCAGGCCAUUGUUGCGCGCAAUUGCUUUGGAUGAGGCAAACCCUGCGGGACUACGGUUACAAAUUAACCAAAGUCCCUUUGCUAUGUGAUAACGAGAGUGCAAUCAAAAUGGCCGAUAAUCCCAUCGAGCAUAGCCGCACUAAACACAUAGCCAUUCAGUAUCAUUUUAUUAGGGAUCACCAACAAAAGGGAGAUAUCGAGAUUUCAUACAUUAAUACUAAAGAUCAAUUAGCUGAUAUCUUUACCAAGCCUCUUGAUGAACAAACCUUUAACAAACUUAGGCAUGAGCUAAAUAUUCUUGAUUCUAGGAACUUCUUUUGUUGAUUUGCACACAUAACUCUUUUAUAUACCUUUGAUCAUGUCUCUUUCAUAUGCUAUGACUAAUGUGUUUUCAAGUCUAUUUUCAAACCAAGUCAUAGGUGUAUUGAAAGGAAAUUGGUGUCUUCGGCGAAGACAAAGGCUUCCACUCCGUAACUCAUCCCUCGUCGUCGCUCCGCACAACUCUCCAUCUUUGGGGGAGAGAGCAUCUCUCCUACUUUGGUAUAAUCUUCACUCAUAUUUUACUUUACCAAAGGGGAGAAAGUUACUUCAAGGGCUCUAAUGACUCCGUUUUUGGCGAUUCAUGCCAAAGGGGGAGAAAGCAUGAGCCCAAAGCAAAAGGACCGCACCACCACCUAAUUUUAAAACUAAGGAUUUUCAAUUGGUAAAUUUCAAAAAUGAUAUAUCAAAACCCUCUUGAACACUAAGAGGAGGAUUUCAUUUAGGGGGAGUUUUGUUUAGUCAAAAGAAAAGCAUUUGAAACAGGGGGAGAAUUUCAAAUCUUGAAAAAUGCUUCUCGAAAUCUUAUUCAUUUACCUUUGACUAUUUGCAAAAGGACUUUGAAAAGGAUUUACAAAAGAAUUUGCAAAAACAAAACAAGUGGUGCAUGCGUGGUCCAAAAUGUUAAAAAUAAAGAAACAAUCCAUGCAAGAAUUUAUAUUGGCACAAUUCUAAGUAACCUUUGCACUUACAAUUAUGCAAACUAGUUCAAAUAUGCACUUUUAUAUUUGCUUUGGUUUGUGUUGGCAUCAAUCACCAAAAAGGGGGAGAUUGAAAGGGAAUUAGGCUUACACCUAGUUCCUAAUUAAUUUUGGUGGUUGAAUUACCCAACACAAAUUAUUAGACUAACUAGUUUGCUCUAGAUUAUAUGUUCUAUAGGUGACAAAGGUUCAUCUACAACUAUACUAAAUUGACUGUCCAGAAUACCGUAGAUUAUUCCGGACAGGAGAAGCUUUUUGGAAAAACAGACCAAGCGCGGACCGUCCAGGCCCUUGCGGCGGAUCGUCCGCAACACCAGGAUGACCCUCGGACAGAACCAAUGCAAAAAUCCGAGUCUGCACUAUGGACCGUCCGGAGGAAAAGCGCGGACCGUCUGAAACCUCGCGCGGACCGUCUGACCUCAAGCGCGGACCGUCCGGUAGGCAAGGAAUCAAAAAACCCGAAGGUGACGGGUUCGGAAAAAUGAAUUAUAGCGGCCUCGCGGACCGUCCGGGGUGCACGACCGGACCGUCCACGACUGGCUUUUUCUGACAUCUGACGACACAUUAAAUGCAAUAUAGCCGUUGAUAUAGCCGUUACUGCUGACCGUUGCGUUUUCAGCCGUUGAUCUACAGGGGCGGACCGUCCGGACCAGGCGGGCGGACCGUCCGCGCUCAGCAGAAUGGAGUAACGGCUAGGAAGUGGUUGAUGGCUAUAAAUACAACCCCAACCACCUCCAUUCACUUCACCCAAACAUUCCAACCUUCAACAUUCAAUACAAGAGCUAGCAAUCCAUUCCAAGACACAUUCAAAGCCUCCAUCUCUCCAAGUUUCACAAUUGAGAAAAGAGAUCAUUAGUGAUUGGUGACUUGAGAGAGAAAGUGAUCCUUGUGUUAUUUAUCGCUCUUGUCGCUUGGCUUUUGCAAUCGUGCUUUCUUUGAUUCUUCAUUGCGAUCAAACUCACUUGUAAUUAAGGCAAGAGACACCAAUCUUGUGGUGGUCCUUGUGGGAACUUUGUGUUCCAAGUGAUUGAGAAGAAAAGCUCACUCGGUCCGAGGGACCGUUUUGAGAGAGGGAAAGGGUUGAAAGAGACCCGGCCUUUGUGGCCUCCUCAACGGGGAGUAGGUUUGCGAGAACCGAACCUCGGUAAAACAAAUCCGUGUGUCACACUUCUUAUUUGCUUGCGAUCUGUUUUCCACCCUCUCUCACGGACUCGAUUAUAUUUCUAACGCUAACCCGGCUUGUAGUUGUGAUUAACUUUGUAAAUUUCAGUUUCGCCCUAUUCACCCCCCUCUAGGCGACUUUCAGGAAGGAAUCAAGCACGAGUUCUCCGCUCCCUACACACCACAGCAAAACGGGGUGGUAGAGAGGAAGAACAGGACGCUCAUAGACAUGGCAAGGACGAUGCUUGGAGAGUUCAAGACGCCCGAGCGGUUUUGGUCGGAAGCCGUGAACACGGCUUGCCACGCCAUAAACCGGGUCUACCUUCAUCGCCUCCUCAAGAAGACGUCGUAUGAACUCCUAACCGGUAACAAACCCAAUGUUUCAUAUUUUCGUGUAUUUGGAAGUAAAUGUUAUAUUCUAGUGAAGAAAGGUAGGAAUUCCAAAUUUGCUCCCAAAGCUGUAGAAGGGUUUUUGUUAGGUUAUGACUCAAAUACAAAGGCGUAUAGAGUCUUCAACAAAUCUUCGGGUUUGGUUGAAGUCUCUAGCGACGUUGUAUUUGAUGAGACUAAUGGCUCUCCAAGAGAGCAAGUUGAUCUUGAUGAUGUAGAUGAAGAAGAUGUUCCAACGGCCGCAAUACGCACCAUAGCGAUUGGAGAUGUGCGACCACAGGAACAAAAGGGGCAAGAUCAACCUUCUUCCUCAACAAUGGUGCAUCCCCCAACUCAAACUGAUGAACAGGUUCAUCAAGAGGAGGUGUGUGAUCAAGGGGGGCACAAGAUAAUGAUGUUAUGGAGGAAGAAGCACCACAGGCCCCUCCAACUCAAGUCCGAGCAACGAUUCAAAGGAAUCAUCCCGUCGAUCAAAUAUUGGGUGAUAUAAGCAAGGGAGUAACUACUCGCUCUAGAUUAGCUAAUUUUUGUGAGCAUUACUCUUUUGUCUCUUCUAUUGAGCCUUUCAGGGUAGAAGAGGCCUUGCUAGAUCCGGACUGGGUGUUGGCCAUGCAGGAAGAGCUUAAUAACUUCAAGCGAAAUGAAGUUUGGACACUGGUGCCACGUCCUAAGCAAAAUGUUGUGGGAACCAAGUGGGUGUUCUGCAACAAACAGGACGAGCACAGGGUGGUGACAAGGAACAAGGCUAGACUUGUGGCAAAAGGUUAUGCCCAAGUUGCAGGUUUGGACUUUGAGGAGACUUUUUCUCCUGUGGCUAGGCUAGAGUCUAUUCGUAUUUUGUUAGCCUAUGCCGCUCACCAUUCUUUCAGGUUGUUCCAAAUGGAUGUGAAGAGCACUUUCCUCAACGGGCCAAUCAAGGAGGAGGUGUAUGAAGAGCAACCCCUGGCUUUGAAGAUGAACGGUACCCCGACCACGUGUGUAAGCUCUCUAAGGAGCUCUAUGGACUUAAGAAAGCCCCAAGAGCAUGGUAUAAAUGCCUUAGAGACUUUCUAAUUGCUAAUGCUUUCAAGGUUGGGAAAGCCGAUCCAACUUUAUUCACUAAGACUUGUGAUGGUGACUUAUUUGUGUGCCAAAUUUAUGUCGAUAACAUAAUAUUUGGUUCUACUAACCAAAAGUCUUGUGAAGAGUUUAGCAGGGUGAUGACUCAAAAAUUUGAGAUGUCAAUGAUGGGCGAUUUGAACUACUUCCUUGGGUUCCAAGUGAAGCAACUCAAGGACGGCACCUUCAUUUCCCAAACGAAGUACACGCAAGACUUGAUCAAGCGGUUUGGGAUGAAGGACGCCAAGCCCGCAAAGACUCCAAUGGGAACCGACAGACAUGUCGACCUCAACAAAGGAGGUAAGUCCGUUGAUCAAAAGGCAUACCGGUCUAUGAUAGGUUCUUUGCUUUAUUUAUGUGCUAGUAGACCGGAUAUUAUGCUAAGCGUAUGCAUGUGUGCUAGAUUUCAAUCCGACCCAAGGGAGUGUCACCUUGUGGCCGUUAAGCGAAUACUUAGAUAUUUAGUUGCUACGCCUUGCUUCGGGAUCUGGUAUCCAAAGGGAUCAACCUUUGACUUGAUUGGAUACUCAGACUCCGAUUAUGUUGGAUGCAAGGUUGAUAGGAAGAGUACAUCAGGGAUGUGCCAAUUCCUAGGAAGGUCCCUGGUGUCUUGGAGUUCUAAGAAACAAACUUUCGUUGCCCUAUCCACCGCUGAGGCCGAGUAUGUUGCCGCAGGACAGUGUUGCGCGCAACUACUUUGGAUGAGGCAAACCCUCAGGGACUUUGGCUAUAAUCUGAGCAAAGUCCCACUCCUAUGUGACAAUGAGAGUGCAAUCCGCAUGGCGGAUAAUUCUGUUGAACACAGCCGCACUAAGCACAUAGACAUCCAACAUCACUUUUUGAGAGAUCACCAGCAAAAGGGAGAUAUCGAAGUGUUUUAUGUUAGCACCGAGAACCAACUAGCCGAUAUCUUUACAAAGCCUUUAGAUGAGAAGACCUUUUGCAGGCUGCGUAGUGAGCUAAAUGUCUUAGAUUCGUGUAACUUGGAUUGAUCUAUAGCAUACAUGUGUUUUAUGCCUUUGAUCAUGUUCCUUUAUGCAUUUUGUUGCUUAUUUAUGGUGCUCAAGUUGUACCCAUGAUCCCCGGACCUCACAAGUCCAUUUGCAAGUGAUGUACUUAUUGAGGGGGAGGCAUGCUACAACUUGACACUUUAAGACUAACCGUGUGUUUAAGUUGACUUGUUUUAGUCUCAAAAGUGGAUUGAAAGGGAAAGGUGGACUUGGACUGUGAAAGACUUCCACUGCACUCCGAUGAGAGGGUAACUUAUUCCAAGUUCAUCUCCAUGAUCUUAUUGCCUUUUUACUCUUACUUGAAGAUUUUGGUGAGGCAAUGGGGUUUUAAAGGCCAAAAAUGAUCUCGUUUUGGUGCUUGAUGCCAAAGGGGGAGAAAUUAAGGCCUAAAGCAAAUGGAUCAGCUACCACUUGAGAAUUUUGAAAAUAGUAGAGUUAGAGCUUUUGUUUUGUCAAAAUACUCUUAUUGUCUCUUUAUGUCAAAAGUUGGUCUCUUGUGGGGAGAAUGUUUGAUUAUGGGAAAAGGGGGAGUUUUUGAAUACUUGAUCAAUUUCUCUUGGAACACCUCUCUUUAUGCCUCAACAAGUGUGUUUGACUUAGAGAUAGGAAAUUUAAGUUGAUUUGCAAAAACAAACCAAGUGGUGGCAAAGAAUGAUCCAAAUAUGCCAAAUUUGAAUCAAAACAAUUUUUUGUUCUCAUUUGUGUUGAUGUUGCACUUAUUCUAGUUGCUUUGUGUUGUGUUGGCAUAAAUCACCAAAAAGGGGGAUAUUGAAAGGGAAAUGUGCCCUUGGGCCAUUUCUAAGGAUUUUGGUGAUUACGUGUCCAACACAAAUGCCUUAAGUAUUAGUAAGUGCCAAAUGGUGGAUGAAGUGAAAAUCAACACAAAGGUAUGAUUCUAGACUUAGUACAUUGAUUUUUGUGUACUAACAUAUUUGUCUAAGUGCUAGAAUCAGAGAAAACACAAAAGGAAAAAGACUUGGCUGGAACAGCCAAGACUCUGCGCAGUCUAGGUGCACCGGACAGUGUCCGGUGCACCAGGCUUGAGUCUGGUCAACUGGCCGCUCUCGGGAAUUCGUCGGCGGCGUACGGCUAAAAUUCACCGGACUGUCCGGUGAGCCAACGGUCGACCGCGCAAUCCGCACGUGACGCGUGGCCGAGCCAACGGUCUGAAUGGGGCACCGGACUGUCCGGUGCGCACCGGACAGUGUCCGGUACGCCAACGGCUCCAAAUCUUCAAUGGUCGGCUGCGCCAUUUUUGGAAAGCAAUCUGCACCAGACACUGAAUAGUGCUUGUCCGAUGGCACACCGGACUGUCCGGUGCGACACCCGACAGAAGGCAAGAAUUGCCUUCCCUGAUUGCCUCCAACGGCUCCUAGCUGCCUUGGGGCUAUAAAAGGGACCCCUAGGCGCAUGGAGGAGAAAUAUACAAGCAUUCUUUGAUCAUCUCUAAGCACCAAGACUUCAUUCUAGCGCAUUUGAUUCCUUGUGAUAGCAAUUUGAGCUCCUCUUGAGUUGAGAACUCCGUGUGUGAACUUAGAGCUCAAGCUGUGACUAGUGUGCGUGUUUGUGCUGUUGAGACUUGUGUGUGUUGCUUUUCCCUCCCUUACAUUCGUGCUUGUGAUCAUCAUUUGUAAGGGCGAGAGGCUCCAAGUUGUGGAGAUUCCUCGCAAACGGGAUAUUGUGAAAGAAAGAAAAACACCGUGGUAUUCAAGUGGAUCUUUGGAUCACUUGAAAGGGGUUGAGUGCAACCCUCGUCCAUUAGGACGCCACAACGUGGAGUAGGCAAGUGUUGUACUUGGCCGAACCACGGGAUAAACCAUCGUGUCUCUUGUGUUUGUUCUCACUGUGACUAUUGUGUUUCACAAGAUCUCGGUCCUUAGCCACUUGAUUUCAUUGUACUAACACUUAAUCAAGUUUUGUGGCUUUAAGUUUUAAGUUUUUACAGGAUCACCUAUUCACCCCCCCCCCUCUAGGUGCUCUCAAGCGCGCCGAUGUUCACCGUCGUCCGAGCUUCACCCGGGUGAGAAACCCAUUGCAUCCCACCCUUUCUUAUCUUUUCCUUUCCUUUUCGAGCUCGUGAUCGUCGGUAGCUAUGUGCUGGUGAGCCGCCAUCCGCGCCACCGUGAAACCGCCUCACCACACCUCUACUGGCUUGGCGCGUUGCAUCAUAGUUAGUCACACAUGCCCUAAACUCCUCCCAUCUCUGCGUGCGAGCGCAGUGCACCCUAUGCUGCCACGCAAACGACUUAGCUAUUCAACCAUCCAUGGCCGACGGUGACCCGGUCGAACUCCCAUCGCGCCGACACUAACGUGUGGCCAAACGCCCAACCCCAUGCCCAAAGCCCCUCCUCUUAGACCCCAUGUAACCUUGUCGGCAGACCGUCUAAAUGUCACCUAGAGGGGUGCAUAGGGGAAAGCUAAAAUUUAUAACUUCAAACACAAUGUUCGACCCCGGUUAGGUGUUAGAACGAGAAUAAUAACGAUCAGGGUGAGCGAGAGAGAGAGUUCUUCUUGCACAAGUUGCUCAAAUGAUUGUGGAUUACUCGGGGAGCAACUUAGUUGAUAUGGAAUCAAGCGCAAGCAAGAGAACUAGAGAGAGGAGGGAGAGGAAGAAUCAAAUCGCAAAUGACGGUCAAACACAAAUAACCUACUUCCCAUUGAGAAGUCCAUAAAGGAUGGGUCCCUUUCAACUCUUUCCCUCUCUCAAACAGUCACAGAGACCCAUUGAGUUUUCUUCUCUUCUUGGGGACACCAAGUCCUGCAAGGACCUCCACACAAAGAAACAGAGUCUCUUGCUUAACUAUACAACUUGUGAGAAUGGGAGUGAGAGCGAGAGCGAAAUUGAAAACCCAAAAAAAGAGCACAAGAGAUUGCAACACUCAAGAACACAAGCACUAAGUCUCUCUUCACUCAAAUCAGUCGAAUGUGCGCUUGUGUAGCUUUGAAUGCAUAAGAGUUGUUGCGCUUGAGGCAUGGUUGUUUGGUGUAGCCCCCAACCACCCAAAUAGCCGUUGGAGGUGAGUGGAGAAAACUACACAGUCGAGUGGCACACCGGACCUCCAAUAGUACCGAUCUGGUGCACCACCAGACCCCUGUCAUACUGCUACAACAGGUAGCCAUUCUGACGGGUGAUUGGAAAAGUAAUUGGUCUGAUGGCACACCAGACCUAGCCACAUCAAAUCUAACCAUUGAGAUAUGAAAGUAGCUAUUGGACCCAGAUGGUCUGGUGCAUCACUAGUCCGGUCCGGAUAGUCAGCCUCUGAAGUGCCUUUUUUACAUCCUCUCCGUGUAACCGAUCCAGAUAGGCACUAGACCGGUCCAGCAUGCCAGCUGGUAAAAACUGAGUCUCGACCUUCUCCGUGUAGACGGUCUGGUGCACCAUCGGACCGAUCUCGUACGCCAGACAACAACCCAGAUUUUAUAAACUUGUCCAAUUCUUCUUCAAAUGAAUUUUAAUGGUCUUGAGUAUAUUCAUAUGACUUAGACAAACAUAUCUAGAUGCAAUCCAACUUGUCUAAGUCACAGAACUUGGACAUUUCAAUUUCUCUAACUCAUAUUCCUGAUUUUAGCUCGAACUUGCUUCAAAAGAGCUCCAAUAGAGAUUCAUUGAAACGGAUCUUUCUAACCAUUUUAGAUGAACCAAAUAUGUUCCUAGGGAUAUUUAGAACUUAUCCAAAGUAUAGAACUAGUGCUAGUUCGACCAUUUGAAGUUUUACCCAUUUUGACUAGAGUUGAGCUGAUUCUGACUUAGAAACUGAAUUAUUGAACAUGUGAACCUGUGAAUCAAAGAUUAGGCAAACUAGUUAGUCUAAAAGGUUGUGAUGGUCAUCAAGUACCAAAAUCAAUUAGAGGAAAUGGUUUAAGGCCAUUUCCAUUUCAACGUUGUGUUGGCCUGAGCACCCACUGCAUGCUCAUGUGUCGCAAGUGUCGAGACGUUAGAGAAGACCCUCAUGGGACCCACCUGCGUGCUUCCCUUCAUGCCUGUACCCCCUCCUGGCCAUGUGUUGUCGCUCGAUGGGCCGCACAGACAACCCUACAGGCUGGAGUCAUCGCACCAAAUCCCGCUGCAGGCACACAAGAUCCAAUCGGAUCUUCUGUGACCUAGCCCCGUGGCCUUGUGUGUGGUCGGGUCGCAACCACUCAGAAUCGCAGUCAUCUCGGGACUUCUUGAUAGUCGCCUAGAUGGGAUGAUGAAUAGGUGAAAUCUCAAAUUUAAUCACCUCAAAAAAACUUGAUCUCAAAUUAGUUGGUUAGAGCAAGAGGUAAAGUAAUCGGAGUUAUGGAUAUAAGUUAUUCAAUCAUGUUGCUCUAAUGAAUGCAGAAUAGACUUGGGAGCAACACAAGAUGAUUAUAAUGGAAAUCAAUGCAAGAGAUCAUUUGGUUAUCUUCAAGAGCAUUCAUAUGACUUAGAAAAACAUAUUUGGAGUCUAUCCAACAAGUCUAAGUCAUAGUUCUUCAUUUUUUAUUUCUCCAACUUAGAUUCUCAUUUUAGCUCAAACUUAGCUCCAAUACACUUUUUUCCAAAAUCUGAACUUUUCAAUCCCUCUAAAAGGUGCUCAAAUACAUUCCUAGGGGCAUUUAUAACUUAUCCAAACAUAUGAACUACUCAUAGUUUAUCUUAUCCUUAGUAUGCCCUUUCUAGCCUUGUUUUGAGAUAUUAUUCAUAUUGAAUUCUUCAAUUUCAUUCUUAUGAACCUCCAUACAUUCACUUAGCAAAGUAGUAGUACAUAAGGUUGUGAUGAUCAUCAAACACCAAAACCAAUAUAGAAACCGCUAAAAGCCCAUUUCCCUUUCACUUUUGCUCUGAGGCCCCUGUCCUUUCCCUAAAUUAAUUUUUUGUUCGCUGAGUCACAACAAAAAACACUGCAAUCCCCUGGAAUAUAUGGAUAAUUAGGUAUAGGUCCUUGGAAUUUUGAAACCUCAUAACUUUUGCAUAAAAAGUCCAAAUUUUAUUGUUCAAGUUAGAGUAGCUUCAUAAUAAAUUUGCCUACAUGUUAACAGCAUUUUUCACCAUGUCUUGUACUCAAAUUAAUAGUUUAAUAUUGGUUUAACUAAGUUAAUUAAAACUAGUCUUUGAUGGAGUUUGAACCGAGGAUUUUUUAUCCUGCCUCACUGAAAUCAAUGUGAAUGAAAAUAAGGCCAACCAAGAUGUAUGGAUCCUAAUUAAAUAAUGUGAGUCCCUAGACGCCCCUAGUUUACUCACGAUUACUGCAAAUUAACUCCAUUCUCAAUAAUUUUUAACUAUAUGUUUAAGAUAUUGUGUAAAAUCAUUAAAUGGUAAAGUAGCCCAUGGUAUGCCUUCAAGGGCAUGACUAGUUUAACCCAAGAUAAUGAAAAUUUAUCUUUUUGUUCUUUGUAAAAUACAAACAUGGUCUUAAUGAUUUAUGUUGCCCAUAACUAAUAUGUCAAGAAAAUACAUUCUAAAUUAUCCUAGAGCCUAUAAACUCCACAUUUAAUGCAAAUCCUUUUCAUAAAUAUGGUCUACUUUGUUGCAUAUGGCUGGUGUAUUGUUCUUUUAUUAUCAAGUGUAUUGAAUGCAUGUUUGUAUCGUGUAGACCAUGAGCAAUUUGUGGUUUCCGAAGGUGGUACCAGAGAAGACCCUGAUCAACAAAUGGACAAAGGCAAGUGUCCUUUGACCUCCUUAUGUCCUAUUUCACGUAAGAACUUACUUUCCUGCAUAACAUGAUCAACAUUAGGAUGUCUAGUUCGUUGUUUUCCCGGUCCUUGUUUACCUUUGGGAAUGGGCAGUGAUGUUUAACUUUUAUGCUUGUGUUGAAAGGGAAAUAUGUCUUUGGGCUAUCUCUAAGUGUUUUGGUGAUUAACUUCCCAACAACUUUAUUGUUAUCAUUUAUUUAUGUAAGACACUUCCGUUAUGUAAUAAUGUUUGUGACAUUUAUCUCUAUACAUUUGGUCAUUAUAUGUGUUGUUUUUUGUGCACAUAUGAGACGCACCCGUGUUUACCCCUUAAAUCCGGGUGUGACACACGAUCUGCUGGUCAUAGCAUUCACUGCAUUUUUUCACACGCUGUAUAGUAAAUCCGUGGGUGUUUAUAGUAUACACAUGAGAGGGCUAUCUAUAGGUAGUUAGGUCAAUUUGGGGUAGGUCAAUGGUCGGACGACCACGUGUCUGUCCGGUUGGCCAUCUAUACAUCGAUUUUUGCUCAUCCAUAAUACGUUACUCCCUCCGUUUCUUUUUAUUAGUCGCUGGAUAGUGCAAUUUUGUACUAUCCAGCGACUAAUAAAAAGAAACGGAGGGAGUAUAUAGAGACUAAACUUUAGUUGGGUGUAAUCAACCACCUAUAUCUGACUUCACCUAUCUACGUGAGGGCUGAGGUGGAGUCCUUUCAACUCUUAGAUUCACCCAACACUUGUAUCCACGGUUGAUUUGUGUAUUUCUUGUGGUUCUUUUAUAGUCCCUUUCCCUUUAUAGUGAGCAGUUGCAGAAAGUUUAUACAUAAGGAUUUUCUAGUUGCACACGGUCCAAACUGUUUUAAAACCAGCGCGCACCAGACAAGAAGACCAGUACGUGGUACAGUGCGUGCGUCGCACACGGUCCGCUCGCGCGCCACGCCCACUUGGCCCGCCGCACCUGUGCCCGUGGCCCGGCCACGUCCCCUCCUCCGUCGUUUCCGCGGCCCGAUCGGCGACCUCACCACGUCCGCUGCCUGCACCCCACCCCCACCCAGCGGCAGCGUGUAGGAUAAGCCGCUUGUGGCCGCCUCGCCUUCCCCAUCACGACCACCACCCAAUCACCACGCCAGCUUAUAUGCCCCACCCGGCGCCACUCGACGUCUCACGGAGAAAAAGAAAGAGGAGCUCGGACAAGGCAGAGCGCCAUCGUUCGGUUUCCUUGCUGAAUUCCCGAUCGCUCGCUCGCUCGAAAAGAAAGAAGCUAGCUUUUAGCAUGGCGUCUCUGGCGUUCGGCAGCACCGUAGCGGCGGCCGUGGCGGCGACCUCGGGGAGGACGCGGCCGGCGCGCCGGUCCGUGCUGGUCGUGCCGCCCGCUGCCAGCAGGGGCGGCCCGGCGCCGGCCAAGGAGGAGAAGGGCCUCGGCGAGACCAUCUUCGGCUUCAUCUUCAAGAAGGACCAACUGGUGGAGACGGACCCGCUCCUCAACAAGGUCGGCGCCGCGCCGGCCGCCGCCUCCCGCGCCAAGACGACCGCCGGCAAGAAGGCUGCCGGCGGCGACGACAGCGGCAGCGGCGGGGGGUUCAACCUCGGCGGCCUCGGCGGGCUCUUCGCCAAGAAAAGCAGCUGAACGUGCCAAGUGUGGCGUGGUUUAUGGAUUGUCGAACUCAAAGCUGGAUUUGGCUUUUGAGGGGGAAAUGGUUGCGCAUAUAUAUUUGUGGACGUGUGGUGGUGUGACCAGUGAUCUUUGAUGUCAUAAUGUGAUAUACUCUACUUCCAGCUGCACCUGUGAUUUUUUUUCAGGACUUCGUUUUGCUCUCAAUCCAUAUGGAUUGGAUGAGAUUGAGUUAGUUUAAUUUUCAAACAAGUAAAAAUCUUUCAUAUUUUUUUCUAAUCUCGUCCAAUUCAAUAGGAAUAACCGAACCAAACCUAAUUAUGACAGGCCUAAGUAUGACAGAUGGGUUAUUAAAAUGGUUAAGCUACUUAGCUGAUCAUGUUUGAUUUAUGUCUGAUCUUACUUUACUCUUGGGUGCAAAUAAUAGCUUGGGAACCACUGAAUCUAGAUAUUGAUUGCCUUUGCUGUGCCAGUUUACAGUUUAGGAAUUAUGGACACUACUUAAUCCAGACAUGUGUAUAUAUCAGUCUCAGAUAAAUAGAUUUCUCUUUGAGAGAGACAAUAAACCCAACAACCCAACAGAAGUAUUGGUAAAAACCGAAUCAAUCGGUGAUGUGUUUUUUUUACCAUGAAUUCCUGAAGAGGGCCCGGUUGGCAACCAUGUCGGAAACACAAAUCCUUCCUUUAUUGUGUAGUAUAAUAAUCGUUCUGCUCAAUUUCUUGAUCAGAGUAGUGGAGUACUGGAGUUCCAGUUGCUGAUUGGCCUUGCAGAGUUCCUCCUGCCUUGGCAUUGUCAUGUUACAAAACUGAGGGCACACAACACAUGCUGUACCCUUUGAAUGGAUGGAAAGGAUGUAAAAUUUAUGAACUCUGGACAUAUCUCUGUACAGUUGAUAGGAACAAUGGUGAUAUCUCUGUACAGUUGAUAGGCAGAGCUGCCGCAGUAGCUCUUCAUGCUACAGCUUACAACCACACAGGGACAGGACAGUUAGGACAUCUUUGCCUUUGCAAAGAAUAUCCCAGCAAAAAGACCUGGUGACAACAUGCAGAUACGAGACACCGUUAGGGGUAACAUGGGUAAAAAGAAGGCCAUUAGAAAAAUGUCAUGGGCAAAAUAAACACUUACCAAAAACUAUGCUACAGAAAUUUUCGACGCUUACAGGGACAUUGAACAGCAAAAUACCAGCAACCGAAAUGGGUACCUUGUUCAGAGAACCAACGAGACUGAAAAAGAGAACAAAAUGAUAAGGACUUCUCUGCUCACAGGAGUGCAGAUCUCUUCUCUCUUUUUUUAUGCAAACAUUUUUGUACUGCCGUCUCACCUAUACGUUGUUGGACCAGUCUGAUGCAAAAACCACACUGAUGAGAAGCUGAUGGCUAGCCCUAGCAAACCACUAGCUGUUGCAACAACCCAGAACAUAGGCUCUCUGAUAACCUCACUGCAAAUCAAAUGAAAGUAAGAAGGCAACCAUUUGUGAUGAAGGCAACCAUUUGUGAUUAUGGACCUCACUGCAAAUCUUUUAUAUGUGCAAAGGAAGAAGGCAACCAUUUGUGAUGAUAAUUUGACUUUGUAUUAUUUAAUAAGUUGGUCGCAGGUUUUUUUUUUUGAAAGAUAGGCCAGGCAUACACCGGGUCUCGAGCCCAGGUUGCAUCGCUCUGAACUGGUGCACUCUACCAAACUCCAAACGAGCCAGAGCUCGUUCCCAAAAGCUGGUCGUAGAGAUUAAAGCAUCUUUUAUGAACAAAGGCAGAACGCUUUUUCAUGAAAGGAAGUUUAAGUUUAAUGUAGAGUAUGACGAAAUGAAGUUUAAUAUGUUUUGACUAAACUGGAAUCAACAGGUAAAACUUAAUGCAUAACAUGUCUACGAUCUGCUUUAAAAAAUAUGUCUAUGAUCAAUCAAAUCAAUAGAGUUAACUACUCUAAAAUGAUCAGGCCUGAAAAAACAAAAUAACAAAUACAUAAAUACAUUAACAAAUGACUCAGACCAAGUACUUUAGUCCACACCAUGCAAGUUUUUUUAAUUUAGAAAAGUAUGGUGAACAUGCAACAAGAUGAAAUUCUUACGCUUGAUAAACAUAUUCCCACUCAUUGAAGGCUAUAACCAAAAUGAGUGCGAAUGGAAUUGAGAGUGCAUUGUUGAGUAACACCAUAGAAACUUCAUUGAGGGAGCCAGAUUUUGUUGAUUGCUUAGCUGUAUCCAUCAAGCGCCUUAGUGUAAGCUGUUAUAAAAGGAUCGUGUAUUAGAGGUGCUAGGGACACAGCAGAACUAACAAUAUUGACCUCAUAAAAAGAAUGAAUAAGCUUGAAUUAAGCUUGAUAUUGUUCCGGUGUUGAUUAUGGACCUUAAAUGAACUAAUUCAUUAUACAAUGAAAAUCUAAAGAUUAAAUGCAUGACAGAAACCUCUGCACAGCAAUCCAUUGAGAUUGUAAAGAGAUUUACAAUAGUUUAUAGAUGUGUAAAACUAUUAGCACGAAUGAACUAACCGAGUAGCCUGCUGUUAGAAAGCAAUUCAGAAUUUGCCACGUGUAGCCAACUAGAUGGAAAGAGAGAUCUGUAAUCCCCCCACAUACAGCUGAUACAAUCUGCAAAGGAAGUGGAACAUAAACUGUUUACUGUUCAUGUAAAAAAAUCAUGCUGUUCUGGAGGUAAAUUCUUCGUGAAGGUCAAUACACUUUGAUAUAUGGAAGUCAAGCAGGAAUGAACCUACCAUCAGAAACAGUGCAGCCCAAACCUUCUUAUUCUGACCCUUCCUGAAUAUAUAUAUCUCUCCUAUAGCCGUUAUAAUAUUUGUCAUGUUCUUUAGUAUUGUCACCAUUGCGACGUUUAUGUACUUCAAACUGAAGAAUUGCAGAGACAGAGAAAAGUUGGAUUAAUCAAAAAUAGUACUGCAACUGCAAGCCUACCACACCAAUAAAGUUUACUUUAGAACUGAGACAACUACAACCUGAAAUAAAAAAAA